Molecule: long non-coding RNA, 50686 nt
Filed under: Cucumis sativus (cucumber)
Lineage: Eukaryota; Viridiplantae; Streptophyta; Magnoliopsida; Cucurbitales; Cucurbitaceae
Description: long non-coding RNA (CSAT_LNC001293)
Source: RNAcentral
UUUUCAGGAGCAAGGCGUUUAUUUUAACAUCUAACUUCUCCAGUCUCUGUUUCAAUUUUCCUAGAUCUCUAGUUUUGUUUCGCUCUUCACCUUUCAUUCUCUUUUCUUCCUUAUCUUUCUUGUUUUUCUUCUCGUCUUCUCCUUUAGGUCCCUUAUCAGAUUCUUGUAUAACAAUUUCCCUACUGGUGUUUGUAACUGAGGUAUCAGUCUUCUUGGAUUCUUCUAUCUUGAUUUCCCUACUGGUGUCCGUAACUGAGGCCUCUGUCUUCGUAUCAUUUCCCUUCUCUUUCUUCUUCUCCUUUCUUCCCUUCUUGUCUUCUACUUCAUCCUUGUCUUUUCUUUUAUCUUUGUCCUCCUUUUCUUCGUCUUCUACUAUUUUCUUAUCUUUUUUCUUCUCUUCUUUCUCUUUCUCGCCUUUUUCUUGUUUCUUCUCGUCCUUCUUGUUUUCAUCUUCUACUAUUUUUUUAUCUUUUUUCUUCUCUUCUUUCUCUUUCUCGCCUUUGUCUUUUUUCUUCUCGUCCUUCUUUUCUUGCUUUAAUUUCUUUUCUUCAUUUGCAGUAUCUUCUUCAUCCUUGCCCUUCUUCUUCUCCCCUUUGUUUUCCUUCACUUCAUCAUUCUCUUCAUCCUUGCCCUUCAUAGUAACUCCUUUGUCCUUUUUCUCCUUUUCCUUCUCUACUUUCUUCUUCUUCUCCUCUUCUUUACUUUUAUCUCCUUCUUCUUCUUUGUCCUUCUUCUUCUUUUCCUUCUCUCCUGUUUUUUUCUUCUUCUCUUCUUUACUAUCAUCUUCUCCUCCUUUCUCCUUUUUCUUCUUCUCCUUCUCUUCUGUCUUCUUCUUCUUCUCUUCUUUGCCACCAUCUUCUUCUCCUCCUUUGUCCUUUUUCUCCUUUUUCUUCUCUCCUUUCUUCUUCUUCUCUUCAUUACCAUCAUCUUCUUCUUCUCCUUUGUCCUUUUUCUUAUUUUCCUUCUCAUCUUUCUUCUUCUUCUUCUUCUUCUCUUCUUUAUUUUCAUCUUCUUUUUCUUCUUCCUUCUCAACCUCCUUCUUCACUUUCUUAUCUUCCACUACAUCAGAACCUUUGCCCUUCUCCUUAUCUUUCUUACCUUUUUCCUGUUUCUUUUCCUUUUUUUCAAAAUCUUCAUCUUCCUCAGCUUCUUUUUUCUUUCCUUUCUUUUCUUUCACUCCAUCAUUCUCCCCAGAUUUCUCAUCUUUCUUCUUAGGUUUUUUUUCAUCUUUUUUCUCUUUCUUCUCAUCGUUCUUUUCCUUCUUCUUGUUCACUUCUGUUUCCUUUUCUGCUCCAUCCUCAUCUUUGUGCUUCUUUUUGGAUUCCUUCUCUUCUUUGGCUUCAUCUUUGUUCUUGUGCUUCUCUUCUUUCUCUUCUUUUUUGUUCUUCCCUUCCAAUUUUGAAUCACCGUCUUCCUUAACCUUGACCUUCUUAUCUUUUUCAUCAUCGGACUUCAACGAUUUUUCCUUUUUAUUCUCGAUAUCUUUUGCCUUCUCUUUUUGUACUGAUGAGCUUUUUCUUUGAAGCUUGGCCGCUGUCUUCUCUUUCUUGUCAUCUUCAUGUUUUACCUCCUUGUUCUUCAUCUUAACCUCGAGCUUUUCUUUCUCAACCUCUUUAUCCACCUUAACAACUUCCCAAUCAAGUUCAACCUUUGUCUUCUCUUCUUUUCCAAUAACUGGGAUACUAACAGAUCCAUCAGCCAUCUUGAUGAAUUUCACUAGAAUUUCAAAUUUGAAAUCCCCUUCCCAAAUGCCCUUUAAAUUUCAAUAGAAAACACACACCUAAACAAUUAGAAAGCAGAGAAAGUCACCAACUGAAAAUAGCAAAACAAAACAAACUGCAUGAAGAAGGGAGAAAAAGAUAAAAUGAAGUAGCUCAAAAAAUUCUUGAUCUGUAAUUAUAAACAAGCAUAUAGAGGGAGAAAAUUCGACCUGAAUUCCUGUUGCACUCAGAAUUAUAAGUAGUCAAAAAAUUGUCUAAGCCUGUCUUUCCCUAAUCCAAAAGAAUCAUGAAAGCCCCAUUCAGCGACCAUUUAGUUUUUCGUCUUCAAUUUUUUAAAAUUAAGUCGAAAGGAAAUACAAUAAACGAAACUAACAAAAUAGAAAUUCUCCACAAUCCAUGCCUCAAAACACGACAGAAGGCGUUAUCAUCUCACAAAUAUGAAAUAACAAUUAGCAAGAACUAUACUAAAAUCCAUACGAAUAAAAAAGAGACAGAUUCCUCCCUAACUAAGCAAUCAAGAAGAGGAAAAAAAAAAAAAAAAAAAACCCACCAAUAAUGAGAUCCUAAACACAAAUUAAGAUUAACAACCCGGAUUCAAAUGACAAAAUCGAAAUUCAUUAAUUCCAACACAUAGAUGAGGUAGGGCAAAAAUGCAUCAAAUAAUCCGAAACAAAACAGAACACAAUCAGAACAUGGCAUGGAUUCAAUUCAACAACACAAACCCUGUGGAACGUUACCUUAUUUUAAGAACUGAAUCGAAGUAGAAAUUGCUGUUAGGAGAGACAGAUGAGAUUAGGGAUGAAGAGGUUAUUAGAAUUUAUGAGAAAUGGGAGUAAAGGAGAAUGGAUGAAAACCAAUGGAAGGGGCAAGAAGAUUGACUUGGUUAUUUUAUUAGCUUAAAAGCAUUAGUUUUCUCAUAGGACCGAACACGGAAUGGACUAUGAAACCUGAUGGCCAAAACUUGAGGUCGGUGAAGUCAUUUCCAAAUUAUUUUUCAAAAUACACUUUUUUUUCUUUCCCUCUUUUUUUCUUUUUUCUUUUUUUCUUUUUUUUUUCUAUAUUUUGGAUAUGGACAAAUUUUAUUUUGCUUUCACAUUUACAAGAAAUUAAACCAUAUAGUUUUUAGAAAAUAUAGUUUAGGGUUUAAUUAUAGAUUUGGUAGUUUUCUUUAUUUUGGAUAUUCCUAUAAUUUUCGUACUUGAUUUUAAACCAUAUAGUUUUUAGAAAAUAAUUUGGUAAAAAGUUUAAAGAUUUUCUUCCAUAACAUUUUUUUCUUUUUUAAAUUAAACCUUUGUUAAAAUUUGAAAAUUAAAAUAAUAGCUUCCAAUAAUUAAUUGUUUUUCAAAAUUAUGAUAAUAAGGUUCAUGUCACAACAUUUUUUUAAUUGCAAAAGUAACAAAUUUAAAAGAUGAUAAUUUUUUUAUAGUCAAUUUGAUAGUUUUCUGAUAUCACUGAUUACUUGUCAUACUCGCAAUAUGCAAAAAAAGAUGUCAUGAACUGUUCUUUUCUAAAAGUUUUUGUCAUCUGACCCUUUUUAAAUUUGAUAAAGAAUUCAAUCAAUAUAUUUAAGAAAUAUGCAAAUCAUAAUAAAGUAUGAGGAUGAAAUAGUCUUAAUUAAAAAAAAAAACGAAAUGGUUAGGUUUUAAUUAUUAAGAUUUUAAAAGUUGGUAAAGUAGAAAAUUUAAACCAUAGAUUUCGAGAUUAUUAGUACAUCCAAAUGUCAAUCGAUUUAAAUUAUUCUUACUUAAAUGUUAGAACUUACUCGUUACUAUUUGAUUAAGAAAAAGCUAUUUAAGAAAAGAUUUUUUAGGAUUAUAUCUAAUAAUUCUCAAACUUUAAAAAUCAAAUUAUAUAACCUUUUUAAAAAGAGAGUAAAAUUGGAAAUAAAAAAACAAAAAUUAAAAGUUUGUUUUUUUUCCAAUAAAAAGAGUAAGCAAAUUAAAGGAGGUAGCUAAAGCUAAGCUACGUAGGCAAAUAAUGUUAAUUUAAUACAAGCUUUUAUCAACUUUAUCAACCCUUCUUGCCGGUCGCCUUUAAAUGGCAUGGGGGCGUCCGCAAGAAGGCAUGACUUUCCGAUACUUCUUGCUAGCUAUCUUUUCCAUUUUUUAAUAUACUAAAUCUAUUUUCUAGUGUUACUUUUGAAUUAUUUAUGUAUACGAUUUAAAUCCUAAACAUUUUUAAUUACUUUUUUUAGUUACUUUUUUAGUUGUGUUAAUUUAAAUCUUAAACUUCCAUACAUGUAUUAACAUAAACCUUCAAUUUUCAUGAGAGACUGUUUGGUAUCUAGCUUGGAAUCAGGUGGGUUUGACAUUUGAUGUCAAGCCUUAACAUUUGGUGUAAAUUCAUGAUUUUAUUUUAAUUUUAGUUAUCAAAUUUAAACUAGUAAUCUUAGUUUCAUUUUAAAAUUAUUACUAUAAUUUUUUUAUAACAAGUCAAAUAUAUUAAAGAUUGAAAUAAACUGAGUUGGUUUGACUAAAAAGACUAAAAUUUUGUUUAUAAUUUUAUGAAUUUUUACAAAAAUAGCAAAAAUAUUUACAACAACAUAGUCCAUGUCACAAUAUUUUCUAAAUUUGUAAAGUAGCAAAUUUAAAAGUGGUGAUCGUCUGAUAGUCCUAUGAUUACUGUCUGAUUGUCCUAUGAUUACCAUUUGAUAGUCAUAUGAUUACUGUCUGAUUGUCUUAUGAUUACCGUUUGAUAUCACCAAUUUUUUGCAUAUGACGUUCAUGGUUUAAUUUGUACGAAUAUCUUAAAUUAAUUUAUUUUAAAAAAUAACUUUAUCUUGCCAUGUAAACAUCUAUAAAUUUCUUAUAUUAAAUUUAAACAAAUUUUUAAAAAUUCAGACCAAAAUAACUCAUUUGAAACAUAAAAAUAUUUAGGUGCAUUUUAUCAAACCGGUAAUUCAUUAGUUAACAAUUUGAUUUUGCUUUUGCUUUUCCCUUUUGAAAAUUAAGAUUAUUUUUUAAAAAAAAGCUUUACAAUAAUGUGUAAAAAAUUUGAAUUAUUGAAAAAUUUUCAAAUAAAAGAUGUGUUCUUAAAAAUUACUUGUUUUUCCGUUUUCAAAAAUAGAUUUGGUAUAUUUUUUUAAAAAAACAUUGUUAUAAAUUUAAAGUUGGAAGAGUUAUUGAUUUAAAUUUGAGAAGCUAAAAAUAAAAAAUUAUGUUUCGUUCGAUAAUCAUUUUAUUUAUUUUUUAUUUUUUUAAACCUAUAAAUAUUAGUUUCACAUCCAACUAUUUUACUUUGUUAUAUAUAUAUUCUACUCGUGAUUGAGAAAGCCAAGUCAAAUUUUAAAACCUAUUUAUAUUGUCUCGACCACUUGCUUCACAUAACUUUCAUUGUUCAUAUUAGAUUAUAAUUUAGGAAGAAAUUUGUAGUACACAUUUAAGAGUUUUUUUGCAUCGUAUAUUGGACGUAGUCCUCAAAUUUGAGAUAAACAAAUAUACUUUUACUUUUAGUGUCAUUUUCCUUUUUCUUUACUUUUCACGAUCGAUUGCUUAUUUUGGUUCUAACUUAGAAUGUGGGAAUUGGUAUAUAAUUUAAAUUUAUUCUAUAUUUAUAGAGUAAGGUAAGGCUCAAUCUCGAUGCCUAAGAAAAUUUACACAAUUAAUCAAACGUUGGAAGCGUUCAAGGAUUAAAGGAACAAUUUCAUUGACUUCUUGAUUGGUCCAAAGUUUUGCAUUUUCUUGUAGAGUGAAAAAUAGCUUUGUAACUUUCUUUGUUUAGCCCACAAAAACUGUACUUUCACACAUAUAUUCCAUGAGAAUUUCACCAAUUGGAUUACCAAAACCCCUGACAAAAUGUAAAAAGGUAAAACGAAUUCGUCUCGAUCCUAAGUUUUGGUUCAAUUUAGUAUCGUACUUUCAAUUGUGUAAUCAUUUAGUCUUAACAUGAAAAGAAAAAAAAAAAGAAUCAUCAACCUUUCAAGUCAAUUUUUAUUAUUUUAAGAUAUGUAGAUUUUGUAAAAUUAUUAAGCCUACCUAAAUAGUUUAUUGAUUUUUUUUUUAUUUUAGAGGGUGAGAAUUAAAUUAUUGUUGUAUAUUAGACUUGAGCUGCUACUAAAAAAACUAACUAAAAUUUAAGAAUUAACUAAUUAUUACUUACAAGUUUAGGAAGUAAAUGUGAUUAUUUAACCUUUCAUUUUAAUACUGACAUUUUCCACUUCAAAUACAGAAAAGAGUCAUAAACACAUGCUUUCCCUAGUAAUGAGUUCAAUUAAUUACCCAAUACUUUACCCAUUUUUUCUUCUUCCAUUUCUUCCCAUCUCUAAAACGAUCUCACUUCAAUCAAAGUAUAUGUGUGUGUGUGUGUGUGUGAGACAAGAAAAAAAGAAAAAAAAAGAAAAAGAAAAACCUCACUGAAAAGCCUUAGAAAGUUGAAUGUGUUCUCAACAAGAUUGCAUGUUGAUACAUAGUUUGAUUUGAAUACAAAAUGUGAAAUAAAAGUAUACAUCGAAUUUGGACUCGUUUGAAAGAGAAAUUUGGUAAUUUUUUUGUCGUUAGUCUUUUUAAGAAAUUUGGUAAUUUUUUUGUCGUUAGUCUCUUUAAGAAAUUUGGUAAUUUUUUUGUCGUUAGUCUUUUUAAGAGAUGCAUUCACCUUGAAUUUUGUGUCAUACUUCACUAAAUUAACCGAAAAUUCAUCGAGGAGGGGUAAAAUAGUAAUGGUUUAAAGUUAUUUAUAUAGAUAAACAAGUGAUAAUUGAAUGAUGUAGGUAAAUUUAUAAUAUUUUGAUUCGUUUUGCUAUAUUUUGGUAUGUUUUACCAUAAUAUUUGUAAAUAGAAAAUUUGAACUAUACAAUUAUUUAAUUAAUCUAGUUUAAUAUUGGAUUAAUUUAUUGCAAUGUGACAAAUGUGAUAUAUUGAAAACUCCAAGAGAGAAAAAAAUAAACUUUUAUAACAAUUUAAGUAAUAUAACCAAUUUCAUGGGUCUUUUAUCUAUAAGUUUGAAGAAGAAAAAAAAUGUGUAUAUGUGGGGGAGAAAUCCAUUGAUAGAGUUGAAGAUUUGGAUGAAUCAUUUAUAACAAUUUAUAUGUUGUGACUGAAUUCAUAUAUAAUAGAAUUUAUUGUAGAGUAUUGCAAGCUCUUAUUUGAUAGUAUAUCGAUCAAUUUGUUUUGAAGAUUUUUGGAAAAAUUUUUUUUUAACAAAUUUGAGUAAACAACAUUGCACACUCAGAAACUAUCUUAAAUCACUAAUAUACUCACAAACUUAAAUUGAUAAGUGAAGACAAUUUUAAUAUAAUAUCUAAUAGACAAAAAUAUAAUAGCAAACAUGACGGUGAUUUUAAAAUUUUGCAAAUAUGGCAAAAUUCUUAUUUUUAAAAAUAUUUUUCAUCUUAAAUUUGUUGUUAUUUCUAAAGUAUCCUUAUUUCUUCUUCCACUUUUUUAAUUUGUAUCAAGUAGUUUUUUAGAAUAACAUACAGUAAAUAUGACACAAAGUUUUAGAAUUUUGCAAAUAUGACAAAGUUCUCAUUCUUGAAAAUAUUUUUUAUAUUAAAUUUGUUAUUAUUCUCAGACUAUCGUUUUUAAGCUCUAGUCAUCAUUUCUCUUACAUUCUUUGAAAUUUGAUUUUUUUUCGUUCUUCCUCAUCGAUAGAUUUUAAUUGGUUAAUCGUUUUAGAGAUGGCGUAUUCAUUUGUUAAUCGUUUGUCAAAUCAUUGAAAACUCAUAUGAAGAUGGAUUCUUGAUUUUGAUUUUGUCCUUCACCAUUAUUGAUUUCGAUUUUGUCCUUAUGGUUUUAGGAGUUCGGUUUUUUGUAUCUUCAACAUAUGAACGAUUUUUUUAAGUUUUAUUUGUGGGUUUACUUCUUUUAUUUAUGGUUUUGAAGUUAGGCAUCCCUCAAUUUUUUUUAUUAUUGUAUUAAUUUUGAUUUUAAGAUAUCAUUGGUACAUUAAUUGCAGUAUGAUAUAUAAUGGUUGUUAAAUAUGUGAUUGUUCUCUGCUUUCAAAUAAUUUUGUUUUACUUUGUUUUGUUUUGGUUUUACUUUGCAUAUGAGUGUUGUGAUGUACUUAUUUUAUAUGUAUUAAUCAAUUGAUAUAUUUAUUGCGUGAUUUUCAUUUUUUAAAAAUAUUUUGCAGUUCAUUAUAGUUAUGGUUAAGCAUAUAAUAAAAUGUGUAUCAAUUGUAUAAAACAGUUAAUUGUUAAGUAUAUAAAUGAUAUAACUUAAUGUAUCAUUAUCAAGUAUAUCAACCAUAUAUCAAUAAAAUAGUAUAUCAAAAUACAAACAUAUUAUUGACGCAAAUUAAAAAAUUAAAACCAAAUAAAUAAAAGGAAAACUAUUAUAGAUAAAAAAAAAAUGAAAGUAGAAAAAUUGAAAAAUAAAUGAAGAAUUUUUGCUAUAUUUUAAUGUUUUCAAUAUUUUGUUAUUUUUAAAAAUCUUCUCCUGAAAGAAUUAAAACUAACUAAGAGUGAAAAGAGGUAAAAAUUGUGCUCCCAUUAAAUGACAAAUAUACCCUUGUCGUACAUCUUACGCAUUCUUCUUAUUAUACACCGCGUCGUCUCUGCUUCAAUUUCCAAUUUCCAUCUCCAUCUUCAUCUCUUUACUAAACUAAACCCCCACUGUACUUCCUUCCCAAUUUCAAUUUUUGCUCCAAUUUCUAUUCUAGGGUUUCUCUCUGACUACUCCCAAAUUUAACCUUCCCCCCCCUUUCCAUCUCACUCUCUCAAUUCCUCUUUCGAUUUUCCUAAAAUCCCUAACUUCAUGAUCGUAUUCCACAUUCUCUCUUCUCUGCCCUGCCCCCGCCUGAAGAAUCCUCUUCUUUGAUCACUCACUGCUCCAGAUUCUCUUACAUCCGUUUGCCACUUCGAAGUUUAGCUGGAUAUCGAUUUUUCUGAUCUGGGCUGACUGGGGUUUUCGAUUUAAGGUAUGGAUGUCGAUGGAGGCGGCAAGCGCGUUUUUCAGAGGCUGGGCGCACCUUCUGGAGAUUCUAGGAAUCAGAAGGUUUGUUUCCAUUGGAGGGCGGGUAAAUGUAGUCGCUAUCCAUGUCCUUAUCUUCACCGGGAGUUAAAUGGUCCUCCACAUGCCGCUUCCAAUGGAGCUGCUAAUGCUGCCUCGAAGAGGGGUCAUGGAUUUGCUUCUGAUGAUUCGAGUGUUUCUGUUCCCCGACGGAGUCCCAAUUUUAGCGGCGGCUCGACGUGGGGACGAGUUCAUGGUGGUGGUAAUAGAAUAAUUAGAAAGACAGAGAAGCUUUGUAAUUUUUGGGUUCAGGGGAACUGUACUUUUGGUGAUAAGUGUAGAUACUUGCAUUCUUGGAGUUUGGGCGAAAGUUUCUCUCAUCUAACGCAGCUAGAUGGGCAUCAAAAGGCAAGUGAUAAUAUGUCUAAAACAAAACCAGAAUUCCCAUUUAUGCGGAGAAUUGUUGUUUUGUUUUGUCCUAUAUUUCUUCUAUUGACUGCAAGUGUGGGACCUAAUAUUUCCUUGACUUUUACUUUUUAUAGGUGAUAACUGGGAUCACUUUUCCAUCUGGUUCUGAUAAGCUUUAUACUGGUAGUAAAGAUGAGACCGUCAGGGUCUGGGACUGCCAGUCCGGGCAGGUUAGUUACCGACCUUCACUUAAUUUGUCCUUCUGCUUAUAUCCUCAUCUCUGUCAUAGACAUCUUUACUAUAAAUAUUAUAUCACUUAAGUAUUAUUUAGUGUUUACUGUGAAAAUUGGUGUAGGCUUGUUCUGUUUCUAUUCAGUUUGAGAGCAAUUUUAUCGAUGAGAGAUUGCAUGAACAUUAAUGGGAUAAUGCUAUAUUUGGAAAGUAAAUCGCAAUAAGCUUCUAAGCAACCACUGAAGGCUAAGUUCUCGAUGUUUCUUAAUUGGAUGUCGAGAGGGUAAGCUGCAAGCUUAGAGUGACUGGAUAGGCCAUGUAAAUUUAUCCUUUCUCUGCAUGUAUUUUUAUCAUACAUUUUUUAAAAUAGAUUACUUGUUUAGGGGGUAGACAAGUAACUUGGUGGAAGGGUUUGGAGUGGGUGAAGGUAAAUAUCCACCAACGUUUACGCACCAGUCAACAUUAUCUUUUGCUAGUAAAUAGAGGUCUUUCAUUAAUACUAAUAUGAUUCUUUUCAAUUUUUAGGAGUUUUGGCUCCUGUGUUGCUCUAUUAUCAUAUUUCUCUUGUAUUAUUUGGGUUUAUAUUUAACAAUUUUUAGGCAUGCCUUUUUUAUGGACUUGAGAAUAGAAAAGAUUAAGAAGUGGGAGUCCCAUGAGGAAAUAAAAGGUUUUCGGGUUCUGUCGUAAUUUGACCUAUAGGAAAUGAAGGAGGUCGUCUCUCUUCUUUCUUUGGUUGAGGGGUGCAGCUUUAGGGAGUUCGUGUUUGGAGUUCUAACCGGAGUCAGUGCUAUAUGUGUAAAUCCUUAUUCAGUCUGUUGUUGGAUCCCUCCCUUAGGGAGUUCGUUUUUGACGUGGUCGGGAGGAUUAAGGUUCCUAAGAAAGUCAAGUUCUAUAUUUGGCAAGUCUUGCUUGGUUGGGUUAACACUGUUAAUAGGCUUGUUAGGAGAACUUCAUUUAUUGGGCCUUUUUGUUGCUUGCUUUGUUGGAAGGCGGAGGAGGACCUUGGAUAUUUGGGGGAGAGGUAUGAUUAAGAGUUUUCUGCCAGAUUUUGGUGUUAGCUAUGCUGGCCAUUGGAGCGUUGGUGCGACGAUUGAGGAGCCUACAUCCACCCUUCAAAGAGAAAGGGAUUUUUAAUGGGUUUCUUGGGUGUGUGCAAUAUGGGAUAUUUGUGGGGGUGGGGUGGGGUGGGGGGGAAUGAUUAGGUGUUACAUAGGGAAAGGGUCCAUACUUUGUAGUGAGGUUUAGUCUUUGGUUAGAUUUCACGUGUCUCUUUGGGCUUUGAUUUUGAAGAUCUUUUGUACCUAUUUCGUUGGUAGCAUUUUACUCAGUUGCCCUUUGUUUAGUUGGGUUGUUUUGGAGGGCUUGUUUUUUUUGUAUGCCCUUGUAUGCUUUCAUUUUUUCUCAAUGGAAGUUGUAUAAAAUAAAAGGUUUUCUAUUCAACAAUUGCAAUGCCAUACUUAACCUCUUUAGUCUAGAGUUAUUUGGUCUCUUGUUCGUUUUCAUGUUUCUUAUUGGGCUUCGAUUUCAAAGGCUUUUUGUAACUAUCCUCUUGACAUGAUUUUGUAUAGUUGUGGUCCUUUCCUGUAGUGGGGGUCUGGGGUCCCCCUUUUUUGUGGGCUUGGUUUUUGUUUGCCCAUGUAUUCUUUCAUUUGUUCUCAAUGAAAUUCAUGGUUUUUAUAAAAAGAAAAAGUCAAGCUGAUGAUGCUUUUAUUUUUUAUGUACGGUUUUGAGUAGCUGGCUUCAUUAGUUAUUCUAGGGCUGCUAAAUGCUACUCUUCUCUUGAUCACUAAUUUUCUGAUGUCUUAUUAUUUGACCCUAGUUUUCUGAAAUAUUUUGCAGUGCAUGGCCAUUAUUAAUCUUGGAGGACAAGUUGGUUCCAUGAUUGCUGAAGGCCCUUGGGUGUUUGUUGGCAUACCUAAUUGUGUGAAGGUGUGGUGGAAUUGAUCUGAUACGAAAUUUUAUGUGAUGCUUUGCUGUUAUGUUGUUAUUUUACAUAAUGGAUGAAGUGUAUGUCUGUAACUGUAACUGUGUUUUAGCCUACUGGAUCUACUUAUUUUGCCUGUUCAGAAUAUCUUUUAAUUCCAAUGUAUGAUGACGUGAACUAACUCAGAGAAUUUUAUGUGAUUUGAAGGCAUGGAACAUUCAGACUUCAGCUGAUCUGAGUCUUAGUGGACCUGUUGGCCUAGUUUAUUCCCUAGUUGUGGGCAAUGAUUUACUCUUUGCUGGUACACAGGUAUUCCCGUAACUUUUGAAUUGUAUCUGUGAGCAUUUUAGCAAUGAGCUUAUCCCCAGAAUAUAACUAUGAUAUAUCAGUCUCUCGUAGUAUCCUGACCAAUGAUUCAACUGUCCUUGACUACCCUUAGUAAUAAUGUUGAUUGACAAGUUUCUUGUUUUUUCUUUUUAUAUGUGGUUUUCCCAUUCAAGGAAUAGAGUAAAUGUGCUUUGAUGCCAUUAAAGCUCGUCUUCAGGAUGGGAACUGUGAAUGAAAAGAAACAGAUCAUUUUAGGGUUCUUUUAUAGAUGACAGUAUCCUUUGGGGAGGGUUAAUGUUGUUUCAUUUAUAUAUAUAUUUACACACACACACAUCUAUACACAUACUUUAUUAUUAUUAUUAUUAUUUUUGCAAAGGAAAUUUCUUCCUUUUGAAAAGCUCCUUGGUUUCUUUGAGGAUGCUAUAAAGUCGUUUCUUAUAGCAAAGGGAGAAAAUCAAUUUAUACUCACGAACUUUGGGGUUGAACCCCAUACCAAAGAUUGUAUUGAAUUCCUUGGUGUCAGUGAUUCAAUGUAGACCCUUUGUGUGAGUGAUUACAACUAUUUUAGUUGAUUUUAUCUAAAAUAAACUAAAUUACUCUUCUUGAGCCAAAAUGAAUAGGUUAACUGGCAUAAUAUUUGUAUCACAAAUCUCUAUAUCAGAUGUUUGAUUACCCCAUCUCACAUAUUAUCUAAAAAAAAAUUAUACUUUCUGAAUCCCACCAAAGUAGUAUAAAUUAGGGAAAAUAUCAAUUUAUUCUCCUCAAUUUUGGGGAUUGUAUCAAUUAAAACUCUAAACUAGUAAUUGUAUCAACUUGAACUAUAAACUUUUAUAUGUGAAUCAAUUUAGACCAUUUGGUAAUGAUUUAUAGCAUUUUUUGCUUGAUUCUAUCUAAUUUUAACUCAAAAUCACUUUUAAAAAUUUGUUAUUUUCCAAAAUUAUGAACUUUAUGGCUUUAUAAUUUUGGUGGCCACGCUUGCUUUGAAGAUUGCAUUUCUUAUUUUCUCAUGCUUCUCAUAUUUGUAUGGAUAUGGUUCUAUUCGGUUCUUUGUACAUCCAUCAAUUUCAGCCGGAUAUUUUGCCAAGUUCAAUCUUAAUUUUUAACUUCUGCACAUAGGACGGGUCCAUAUUGGCAUGGAAAUUCAAUGUGGCAACCAACUGCUUUGAGCCAGCUGCAUCACUCUCUGGCCACACCCUUCCUGUUGUUUCAUUAGUUGUCGGAGCAAAUAGGCUCUAUUCUGGUUCCAUGGACCAUACUAUUAAAGUGAGUUGAGCUCGAGUAUGUGCCAUCUUUUCUUUAGUUGCAGUUUUUCCAUAAUCAAUUCGAUUCUUAUUCUUUUUUUUUAGGUAUGGAGUCUGGAGUCUUUACAAUGUCUACAGACACUGACAGAUCACACAUCAGUUGUAAUGUCUGUACUUUGCUGGGAGCAAUUUCUCUUAUCGUGUUCGCUAGAUAAGACAAUAAAGGUUGAUUUUCUAAUUCAGAAAGGUGGUAGUUUGACACUGUUCACGUUCUGCUAUGACUUGAAAAUUAAGUAAUGGUUCAACUUGUCUUACCCGCAGGUGUGGGCUGCUACAGAAAGUGGAAACUUGGAAGUAACCUACACGCAAAAAGAAGACCAUGUAUGUGUGGUUUUCCGUUUUCUUUGUUAUUAUUACUAUUGGAUAAUACACAACGUUCUUUACUAAAGAAAGUGUAUAAGGGAUGAGAAUAAGUUACGGUCAAAUGCUUUAGUAUUCUGCGGUUGUUGUAUCUGAAAAAGGCUGUCAGGAUUGUCCUCAAGUUCAGAUGCAUCUUCUUGUAAUAUGAUGGUGAUCUAAUUACGAGUGCUAUUUUAGAACUAGUCUUAAGCAUAGGAUCAACUAAUAGUAUAUAUUGCGGAAUUUCAAGUGGCUCCUACUGAAACUUUAUUAUCCUUUUUGGUUCAUCGAAGGGGAAAUAUUUUGCAUUUCAGAAGUUUGGGCUUCCUUAGAGAUUAUAGUUUCUACUGAAUUUAUCUCGGUGUCUGGGACAGCCAUUUGGAUACAGUGGGAUGAUACCCGCAAACAUGUUCAAUUCACUUAUGUGAUGUGAUGGCGAUCUUUUUCAGGGCUUGCUUACUCUCUGUGGGAUGCAUGAUUUAGAUGGGAAGCCUAUUUUGUUAUGUUCGUGCAACGACAACUCUGUUCGCCUUUAUGAUUUGCCAUCGUGAGCAUCUUCACCCAUGUUCACUAUAUUUCUUGUUUUGAUUCUAGGUUCUUGGUAUUCUCUCUCAACGUAUAUCAAAAAUAGCUUUUUGUUAAUCCAUAUCACUUGUGUAUUGUUUGUAAUAGGUUCUCGGAGAGGGGCAAAAUAUAUUCGAAGGAAGAAAUUAGAUCAAUUCAAGCUGGUCCAGGCGGCAUCUUCUUUACCGGUGACGGGACUGGACAAGUGAAAGUAUGGACAUGGUUGACCGAACAAGCAGUGGCAGCAAGCAUGUAACAUGUUAUGAGCUAAACAGUGUAACGUAAUUUGGUCUUCACCAGCUUGAUCUGAUAAGUUUAUACCUUUUUUUUUCCGGGGAGGGGAUGGUUAGUUCUUUUGUAAUGUACAAGUUGAGGGAGUCGAGGUUGAGAAUGCAAUUUUUUAUUUGUUAGGUUUUAAGGGAGAAGCAACAAAGACCAUUUAGAUGAAUUGCUACACAAUGAUCGAAGUGUCUGUAUUCGCUGAGUGGUGAAAAGUUGUAUGUGGCGCAUCAAGAAGAAAUAUAGAGCUGAAUAAGAUCCACAAAUUAUUGCUUCCUAAAGAAAAUAAUUCCGCUAUUCAAUCUGUCCUUUUUGUUAUGUCUUUGGACUGGGGCAUGCCUCGUCAUAUAUCAAGUGAAUGUGGAAAGAAGUUGAAUGUCAUAGCUGCUUUUAACGAUUUGAUGUUUCCAUAAUUGUAUUUAAAUGACAAGAGAUUGAAUAAAUUUCUUACGUUUUGUUAUUUUAAUCUUCAUUUGGAGCAAGAUAAUGUCUUUUUCAGUGCUCAUAUCAUGAGGCACAGCGUAUUCUCUCAAUUCUUUUAAUCUUAUCUUAUGUAGGGUUAGGGCAAAAAUAGGAUUCAAUACUUUUAAUAUUAAUGUUGGCAAAAAAAAAAAAAAAAAAGAGUAGUUUCUUUUUUCAGUAUUUUAAUUUUCUUCUCAUUAGUGUAUUCACAUGUCUUACGUAUAUAAUAAUUCAUGCAAUGUGUACAAAACAAUCUAUAUCCUAUUGACCUAGAAAUAAAUCAUGACAAGAAACCCAAUUGACGUAGAAAUAAAUCAUGAUAUUACUAUGCAUUGUUAUUUUGAAAAUCAUAUCCUUAUUUUACUAUUGAAAAUUUUAGUUUUUGUACAUAGUUGAAUCUCCGAUCAAUAGAAAAACGUGAUGGUUAAUGAUGGAAUGCAAGAAAUCAAAUAUUGGUACGGUGCACAUACAAAUAUAGAGAAGUAGCAUGACUAAAAACUCACACUUAUGUAAAAAGAAGCAAUAGAAUAUCCUUUUACUUUCAAAAUACGAAUAAUGCGUUAUUCAAAUGUAAAGGCAAAGAAGAAGUUUUAAAACAUUUAAUUGCAUUAAAUUAAAUUUUUACUUUUACAUGUGUUUAUUGCAACAAACGUCGUUUCUUAAAAAAAAACUUGUUCUUGCAAUCGGAUCUAUGUACAUAAAGUAGAACAAGUAAAAUCUUUAUUCCAACACAUACAAUUGGGGAUAGAGACAAUAUCAAAACUUUAAUGGGAGGAUAGAGUAGGAGCACAUAAAGACAAGAGUUGUGUGUACUAUUGAUGCCAAUACGAUGAUGUAAUUCUUCAAGAUAAAGACCUUCAAAUUGAUGCAUUCUCAAUACAACAGAUAUAAUUGAUAUUGAAUGAUGUGACAUAAGUUACAAAUUUAGAAGAGAAAGACGUCUUUGAAGAGAAAAUUUUAAAAAAUAAAAUAACAUAGAAGUAAAAUUAAUAAGUUAAAGAUACUAUUUACAACGAGGAAAUUUAAACCAAGAAUCUCAUGUCCUAAGUGACGUGAGGAUGAGAGUUGAGCUAACCUCAUUUUAAGCUUAAUCUAAUUUUUAUAAUAUUUAAUUAUUCAAUUAUAAUUAUAUAAUAAUAAUAUUUAUAUUUUUACUUUCAUUUGGGAAGAAGAAGAGAAAAAGUAUAUUAAAAGGGAAAGGGCCUUCGUUUCCGCUCUGUCUCUGAUCUGUCGCUCUCUCUAUCUCUCUCUCUCUCUUUCUCUUUCUCUCUGUUGCUGUUCCAAAUUUUGAACCUCAACGACGGAUUUUCUCUGUUUCAGGAGCAUUCAAAGCUUUGUUCCUAUACCCAUUUCUUUCCUCUUGAAGCUUUCAUUCUCACACAUUUCUCUGCCUGAACUUCCAAGCUCGUUUUCAUAAUGAACGAUCUUCUUUCGGUAAUUUUCCCCAAAUUCUCUGUCCUUGUAUUGCAUUUUGUUGUUUUGCAGAUGGGUUUCCUUUUUUUUUUUUUUCUCGAUGAUUUUGGAAGUUUUGACUUGUGGGUUUUGUCUUGAAUUUGAUCCAAGCUUUGUUUUGUUUUCCGGAUUUGUUCGAUCCAGUUUGCUUUUUGUUUACAUGAUAAAGGAAUUAGACUUGUUGGUUUAAUUUCACCUGUGGUUGUUUAGUGUAGUUUAGAGCUUGUGGAGUUUAUGGGUGAAUUCAAUUUGGGUAUUCUAGACACUGUUCGAGGGCUUGGCAAAACAUGAUUUUAUCUUUGUCCACCAACUGUCCACCAACUGUCCUCUUAUCUUCCAUUUAUUACCGGUUAUGUAAAGGAGACGAUGGCUACUUAGUCUUUAAUUUCUCUGUUGCUAGAAGUGGUUUGACUUUUGUUGACUCUUUACUUCUCAUUUCAUAAAAAAAAAAUCGUAUUGUGACAGUACACCGAUUUAUUUAGAUGGUUCUGUUAUGAUAAAAAUAAGACGGUUAGGUCAGAACAUAAAAUUGAAAGCUUUUGGACUGAACGAAAGGUUGCAGAAAAUGAUGGAUGUUUUUGGUGUGACAUGAUCCUUUGUGCGGUGUCAAUGUUGCUACCGUUGGUGAUACUGGUAAAGCACACUAUGUGGUCAUCAGGAACGUCAGUACUUUGAUUCUCAAAAGUUUAUCAGAAGUGCUGGUUGAUUUUAGUUUAGAAUUGAGUAAAGGGAACUAUAGAUUCUUCCAUAAGAUACCCAUUUUCAGUUAGGGGCAAGAGCUCAGAAUAGCAUGGACAGACAGAUGGAUGGAUCGUUUAUACCUUGCAUCAUCAUGAAAACUUUUUAUUAUGAACUUGUUUAAUUAUCUUUUCUAUUUCCAACUCUUGGUCUAUUAUCUAGAUUGUGAAUAAUAAGAGAAUGACUGUAGAAAGACUUUGUGGGGAUGAUGAAGGAGAAGAACUGAAUGUUUAGAUUGCUAAUGGUUGCUUCUUGGUUUUAAUUACCAUGAUUUCAGCCUUUUAUUCCCAUCCAAGCUAGAGUGAAGAAACAGGUUGGAGAUACAGAGCUUAGCUCCUUUGAUUGGUGUUUGUGUAAUGGUAGGUAAAGUUCACUGACUUUGGUAGUCAAGGGAAGCUGUUUUUCUUAUAAGAAACAAAUUUCAUUGAUAUAUGAAAUUUACAAAAGAAGGGAAACAUGCCCAAACCAAAGGAGUUACAGAAGACUUCUCCAAUGUAAGCUCAAAGGAGUUAAGAUGCAUGCUUGCACCAAUUUUUUAGGCUGUAAAAUUAAAUGUGUUUUGCAAGGCAGAGUUUUGAAAUGCUGCUUCUUUAGUUUGAGGCCUCAAUUUCUGAAAAAAUCUUCAUGUUAAUAGAGGACUCGGUUGUUUUUAUAAAGUUAUAAGUAGGAAAGUUGCUUAACCGCUAACAAAGAAGAUCUUAGAAUUAAUGACUCAUAGUAAGUCUUUACUAGAUUUUUUCCUUUUAAAUAAGAAACUUUGCAACUGGAAAUAAUAACAAAAUGGGUAGGUCAUUAAGAGUUCCAAUGAGCAGAUAAAUUGUGUAUGCCACCGUGUAUUUAUUUUCUCUCAAAUUUUUUUCAAAGAAAAAAAACGACUGCUUUCGAGGAGAAAGAAUGAAAUUAGCCCAGAAAAGAAUCCUUUAGCGUAAGAGGCUCCAACAUAAAAUAAUGUUGCCCAGCGAAUAAUUACAAAAAGUCUUAAAAAACAAAGGCUCAAAGAGAAACAUGAAACUUCAUCAAAGACUAGAGAUCACUAGAUCCCUUUCCACACCCAUGAACACUGUUAUUUCUCUCCACCCAAAUACCCCAUAAUAGAGUGCACACCCUAGCAAGGCAUAAGAAGCACCCUUUCCAAAACAAAGACAAAUUGAGGAGGAACUCCCUGAUUGAGUUUAUAGCACUACCCCAACGAGCAUGGACUUGUGAAAGAAGCGGUUCUAUACUUAUCUUAGAUUCUUAAGAAUUCACAACUCUAGAGAAGGUGACCAAUUCUUUCUUCCGCUUUCAACAAAGAAUACAAAAGAAAGGUCCCAGCAACUAAAGUGACAUACUCGUGAGCCGAUCCAAGGUGUUCACACGGCCAUGAGGAUGGCUUUGGCAAGUAAGACAUGUCAAACAAAGAACCUGUCAAGGUAUUGUUAGAAGUUGGGAACUUGAUGGCUGAUAAUAAGAUGAAAUUAGCUGAAUGGCUUUGGCAUUUUCCCUUUGAAUCCAACUCUCUGUGGGAUAGAAUCAUUGGUAGCAAAUUUGGUCCUCAUUCUAUUGAGUGGCCGUUAAGUAGGGUUCUUGGUGCUAUUUGGAACUUGUGGAAGGCAAUUUCUAAGGAGUUUCCUUCGUUUGCUCAUUUGGUUCAUUGUGUGGUAGGUGAGGGUAUGGGUAUAUGCUUUUAGUAAGAUCAAUGGUGGGGGAUAGACCCUUUGCUCUUUAUUUCCCCGUCUUUAUGAGUUUGUUGUUUGGUUAGGAAGCUCUUGUUCUAUCUCUAUUGAGCAUUGUUGAUCUUUAUCUGAUAAGGAAGUGAUGGACAUGUCCUCUCUUUUAUCGUUGGUCAAAGGCCAAACCCUUUGGAGGGAUUCUUGUUUAAUUUCUUGUUUCGUCAUCUGAUUAUUUAAUAGACACUAUUUUGUAUAGACUAUAGUUGGGAGUCUCUUUAGUGGGACUCUCUCUUUUCUCUUGCUAUAGUUGACUUAUGCUCUUGUAUUCUUUCAUUUUUUUUCUCAAUGGAAGUCCUUUAUUCUUAAAAAAAAAAAGAAAAGAGAAGAUAUUUGUGACUUCUUUGUGAAUUAUGCGUACAACCAUAAUCUAUAAAAAAUGAUACACCAUACAAAUUUUGUGGUGGGAUGAUGCGUCUUUUUUAUGAAAAUUUGGGUGUUCAGUUAUAGGGUUACUAUCUUAAAAAUCCUUGGAAUUCAAUGAUGAUUCCCUAUAACAAUUAAAAAGACUCUUAGACCCUAUGCAGGAAAUCUUUCAAAGGAAAGGAAAAAUUUAUUUGGUAUGCAAUACAUUAAGGCCCUUUUUAGGAAUCCUGGCUUCAAGGAAUCUAACUUUUCCUAGAUGCGGACACAAAUUAUUUUGUGAAAGGGGGUAUUAGCCUAGCUUCAAAAUGGAGUCUUUUUGUAGAACUUUUUGCAAUUAUGCUUUGGUAGAUUUGGGUGGCAAUUGUAGUGUGUUUAUUGUUAAAAUGUUGACCUAAUUAAAUUUAAUAUAUCCUAGCAGGUUAAGAUUUUGGGCAAAUCAAUUAUUUAAGAUGGUAUUAGAGAUGGAGGUUCUUGUGUUCAUACCUAUAAUGUCAUUUCCUCCCUAAUUAAUAUUGGCUUCCACUUGUCAGCCUACAAGUGAGGGAGGUGUUGAAGUGUUGAUAUAAUUAAGUCUCUACUAUAACUCAUCGACUUAAGCUUUUGGGUGAAUUGGUUAUUGAACAUUUAUUAUAUAAACCUCCUUGGGUGUUUGAGGAUGCCUUAUUCUCUUUCCUAAAAAAUGAAGGACAUUUUUUUCUAAAACAAAGGAGAGCCAUAAUCAUGGUAAAUGGUAGUAAAAGCCGUUUGGACUUUUCUUAGUGGUAUGAAGAUUUGUUUGUGGGUUCCUUUUGAAGGUUGUGGUUGAUUGUGGAGGAUUUUUUUCAUAGUAUAAUUUUUGUUUGCAAGCUCUCUAUUCUUUUGGGCAAAUAUAUUGAAAAGGCCUUUGUUCUGGGUUAAUGUUUAUAUACAUGGCUAUUUUUCUUUAUAGGUAUACUUGCUGUUAUGCAUUUUACCCUUUUCUUUUUCACUCCCUUUUGGAGUUGGAGUUUGGAUCUCUGAAUUUUUCUCCUUUUCAUUAUAACAAUGAGAAGUUUUUUCUUUUUUAAUAAUCUUUCUGAAGCUAUAAAAAUAGCAGGCCUUUUUUAUUUAUUUUUUAAAUAAUUGUAACAAGUGGGUGGUUUGAAACAAAGAGGAAUUGUUCUCUUUCAGGCUUGAGAUUGGUCUUUGACUUACCUUAUUUUGGUUUUCCAUAUCCAUCUAGUUUUCUCUAAAUCGAUGAAAAUUGUUACUCAUUUCUGUCUGUCUGUGUGUGUGGGGUGGGGUGGGUAAUCUAGAGAUGGGUAGUAGGACGUAGCUACAUGUUUAGUUUCUACUGUAUGCUUUUCGAGGGUUUUGGCUCUUAUAAUUUUUUUUUCUGUUUUUGCAUAUUGGAGCCCUUUCUUGUUAGCUUCAUUGGUUUCUGAUGCAUUCUUAUCUACCCUCUUCUGUGAUUUACUUUUUGUUUGAAAUAAUGUAAGUUUCCUAUAAAAAACAGCAUAAAGAGAGAAAGAGAAGCAAAGAACUAUUCUAAUUGAAAGCAUGCAUUUGUGCUGAAUCAAUUAUGGGAAAGUUUAAUAUGAAAUGGAAGUUAACUUAAGACUUGGUUAUGUUUUGGGCUUCACUGUGGAAUUUUUAUUAUGCCAUGAUAUUUUAUCCUUCACUAAUGCUUUAGCAUUAAUUUCAUUUUAGGAUGUAUUUGCUUUUUCAUCCAUACGUGCCUUAUUUUAGUUUUGGGAGAUUUUCGAAUUAAUUUCUAAAUGACUAAUAUACAAGAAGAUAUAAUACAAGAAAAUUCAAACAAGGAAAUUAGCUAAUAAAUCCAAACGAAAUAGAGAUAAAAUAUUUUACAAAAGAAGAGUUAAUCUACACUUUCAUUAACGGAACUUGAUAUUGUUUUGAAGGAUUCCUUUGAGAUCCGUCGGGGUCAACCUUCUGGAGGAAGAGACAUUGAGCUAGGAGCAAAUGCGCCUACUAGUGCAGGGGAUCAGGGCAUGGGGGAUUUCUUCAAAAAGGUAUUUGAAUAAUAUUUUUUAACUCUUAUGGUCGAGCAAGUGGAGAAUUUGAUGUUGCUACAUAAGAGUGUUUUCAAUAACUCAGCUCGAGGGUGCAUUAUAGUUGUGUUCUUUCAUCUUAUCCAGGUCCAAGAGAUUGAAAAACAGAAUGAGAAGCUGGAUAGGCUAUUGAGAAAGCUCCAGGUAUAAAUGUCUAUUAUUCUACCUUUUGGUGAUAUCUGUAUUUUGAAUGCAGCUCACUGGAAUCCUGGAUAAUUGUCGUUUUUAGUUGAUCGGGAAAAGAUUGAAUCCCCACGGAAGUGAUUGAUUGCCUAUUGCUUUCAAUUUUUUUUUUUUGAAAAAACCAAUACACAGAAUACAGAACAUUCAUAAUGCUGUAAAUUUAGGCUAAGCACCUAAAUAGAACUGCAGAUAAACUUUACCUUUGAAGAGCCAUUCUUCAAGUUUUUCUCUAGGUUUCUAGUAGGGGGCUAUCUUUAGCCUGGCCCCUGGGCUGUAUUUUUUCCUUCUUGAAUAUAUCCCUUUUGUCGUUUCCUAUAAGAAAAGAGAAGUUGUAGGAGGAGGAAGGCAGAGAAUUCUAUAGAUAAUUUUAGGUUUGAGUUAGUAUACUCAAUAGUGGGGAGGUUCUACUACGAAUACUUGGGUUAUCUUGCAGUAUAUUAUUCUAGUUCUGUUUUGGUUCUAAUCAGAUCCUCAGGAUCUUUUAAGUGUAUCACCCAUCUGUGAGAGAAUCAGAACUGUUGGGGCUUCUAGUUGGAGGGUUGGUUUUGGCGUUUAAUGCAAUUCAAACUUUCUGGGAUUGAAUUUCAUGUGACAUUUGAUUUAUUUAUUGAAAGGAGAGACAAAGAGCACACACCAAUUUGUGUGGAAACCCGAGUAUUGGGAGAAAAACCACGAUUGUUUGUCGUUAUUAUUUUCUAAUGAAUAAUACAAUAGGUACAAAGGAGAAUAAAUAGAGAAUACAAGGGAAUAAAAAAGGAAAAUAUUUAGGAAAUAAGGAAAAUAUUCCCAUAAUCUUUUCAUAAACAUUCUAGGAUUCUAACAAGGAAAAUAUUUAGAAAAUAAGGAAAGGAUUCCAACACUCCCCCUCAAGCUGGGACGUAAUAUCAAUGAGACCUAACUUGCUAACACAAAAAUGGAAGUUUUGGUCUGAGAAGCCCCUUGGUAAGAACAUCAGCAACUUGUUGACCCAAAGGGAUGUACGAAAUGCAUAUGCUCCCAUUUUCAAGUCUUUCUUUGAUGAAAUGUCGAUCAAUCUCAACAUGUUUAGUUCUAUCAUGUUGAACAUGGUUGUUAGCAAUACUAAUAGCAGUUUUAUUAUCACAUAAAAGCUUCAAUGGUGUCUCACAUUCUCGAUGAAGAUCGGACAGGACUUUCUGAAGCCAAAUUUCCUCACACAUUCCCAAACUCAUAGCUCUGAAUUCGGCCUCAGCGCUGUUCCUGACCACAACACUUUGCUUCUUACUCUCCAAGUUAUCAGAUUGCCCCAAACAAAGGUACAAUAACUUGAUGUAGACUUUUUAUCAACAACAGAUCCUGCCCAAUCCAAGUCAGUAUAUGCCUCAAUGGUCUUUCUGUCUGUUUUUCUAAACAUCGGCCCUUUACCAGGUGUUGUUUUUAAAUAUCUCAAAAUUUGGUUGACAACUUUCAUGUGUUCCUCAUAAGGAGCUUGCAUAAACUGGCUGACAACACUCACAACAAAGGAAAUAUCAGGACGAGUAUGGGAUAAGUAAAUUAAUUUACCCACAAGGCGCUGAUAUCGUUCUUUAUCAACUGAAACUUGAUCAUCAGAGUUUCCUAGUUUACAGUUGAAUUCCAUAGGAGUGUCAGCGGGACGACAUCCCAGCAUACCUGUCUUGGUUAGCAAAUUAAGGGUGUAUUUUCUUUGAGACAUGGAGAUACCUUCUUUAGAUCUGGCCACCUCCAUUCCAAGGAAAUAUUUCAGAUUUUUCAGAUCCUUGAUUUCAAAUUCAUCACCCAUUCUUUGUUUUAGUUGACUGAUUUUUGUCUGAUCAUCUCUAGUCAAAACAAUGUCAUCCACGUAAACUAUUAGAACAACAAUCUUCCUUGUCUUGGAAACCUUUGUAAAUAAAGUAUGAUCAGAGUGUCUCUGACUAUACCCUUGGGACUUGACAAAGGUAGUAAAUCUAUCAAACCAUGCUCUGGAAGAUUGUUUCAGACCAUAUAGGGAUUUCUGGAGUUUACACACUUGUUGACCAAACUGGGCUUCAAAUCCAGGCAGGGGGCUCAUGUAGACUUCCUCCACAAGGUCUCUAUUCAAAAAGACAUUCUUAACAUCUAGUUGGUAUAGAGGCCAAUCUUUGUUCACAACAACAGAUAACAGAACUCUAACAGUAUUCAACUUAGCAACCGGAGAAAAAGUUUCUGAAUAGUCAAUACCAUAGGUUUGAGUAAAUCCCUUUGCAAUUAACCUUGCUUUGUGUCUGUCAACUGUUUCAUCUGCUUUGUAUUUGAGAGUGAACACCCAUUUGCAUCCCACAGGCUUCUGUCCCUUUGGUGGAACACAAAUCUUCCAAGUGUUAUUCUUUUCGAGAGCUUUCAUUUCUUCCAUGACAACAUUCUUCCAUUCAGGACAUUCUAAUGCAGUGUGAAUAUUUUUCGGUAUUGUGGUAGAGUUAAGGCUGGCAGUAAAAGCUCUGAACUGUGGUGAGAGAUUCUUGUAUGACACAUAAUUACAUAUGGAGUGCUUUGUGUAGGACCUUGUACCUUUCCUCCGUGCAAUAGGAAGAUCAAGAGAUGAAUCAUAUCUGCUACUAUUUUCAGUAUGUUCAGCAACAACCUCGUUUUCAAUAAUUCUGUCCUCUCUGUCUAUAAUGGCCUCAUCAAUACUGCCCUGCUCACCCAUAUCUUCCAGAAUAGUUGUCUCAGACCUGUCAUUCUCACAUGUUCUGUUAUUAAUUGAAUCAAUCAUACAUUGAUCUCUUAUUGGUUCAGAAUCUUGCACUGGAGCCGUGUGAACAACAUGAGACUCAACUUCCUUUCUGAGAUUUCUCCUAUAGUAAGUUUUCCAAGGAACUUGAUUUGUUGGUAAGACUGUACUAUGAGGGCUAUGGUCAAGUAAGGUAACCAUAGUAGGAUAAGAAGACUCUACGGGAAGUAUAUAGUUAGACUCUUCACUCACAUUCUCCCCCUGAAGUAGACUAACGAGAAAAAAAGGACGAUCUUCAGUAAAGGUGACGUCCAUGGUAACAAAGUACGUGAAGAAGGAUGAAAACAUUUAUAGCCUCGUUGGUGUAGAGGAUAUUCAACAAACACGCAAGCCUGAGCCCUAGGAGUAAAUUUAGUUUGGUUAGGACCAUGGCUAUGGACAUAGGCAGUGCAACUGAACACCCGAAGGGAACAUCAGGGAUGAGACGAGUGAAGGGAUAGGAUUCUUUGAGGCAAUUUAACGGUGUCUGGAAGUGAAGGACACGAGAAGGCAUGCGGUUUAUGAGAUGAGCUGCAGUAAGAAUGACAUCACCCCAAAGAUAGGAAGGAAGAGAAGUGGACAACAUAAGGGAACGAGCAACUUUCAAAAGGUGACGAUUUUUUCGUUCGACAACCCCAUUUUGUUGGGGGGUGUAAGCACAUGAACUUUGGUGAACAAUUCCUUUAGAGGACAAGAACUCGUUAAGAGAGUGGUUUUGAAACUCACGACCAUUAUCACUUCGCAGAAUUGCAAUCUUUGAAUUGAAUUGCGUUUCUAUGGUGUUAUAGAAGUCUCAGAAUGUGGAGGUAGCUUCAGAUUUGUCGGAGAUCAGGAAAAACCCAAGUAAGACGAGUAUGGUCAUCAAUAAAGCUCACAAACCAUCGUUUCCCAGAGGAGGUAGUGACCUUGGAUGGUCCCCAAACAUAACUAUGGACAAGAGUAAAAGGUUGAGUUGGCUUAUAGGGUUGCGAAGGAAAUGAGACUCGGUGAUGUUUAGCUUUUAUGCAUAUAUCACAAGAUAAGGAAGAAACAUCAACUUUGAAGAAAAGAUGAGGAAAUAGGUAUUUCAUAUAUUUAAAGUUGGGAUGACCUAAACGGAAAUGCCACACUAUAGGGUCUUUUUCAGAGGUUGUAAAGUAGGAUGAUAAAAGACUGGUCCUAGAAAUACUACUAGAGGGGGCAUCAUCAUCAAGUAAGUAAAGACCCCUAUUGUGUUGGACAAUGCCAAUCAUCUUCCCCGAGCUCAAGUCUUGAAAAGAAACAGAAUCAGGUAAGAAUAUUACUUUGCAGUUUAGUUCACGAGUAAUCUUACUAAUCGACAAAAGAUUAUAUGAAAUUCGUGGCACAUGCAACACAUUGUGUAAUGAGAACUCGUCAAAAAGAGAAAUCUUCCCUUUCCCGGCAAUGGGAGCUAAGGAGCCGUCAACAAUUUUUAUCUUCUUAUUUCCAGCACACAUAAUGUAAGACACAAAGUGUUCAGAGGAACCGGUUAAAUGAUCAGUGGCACCUGAGUCCAAGAUCCAAAGAUUCUUUCCAUCAAUACUAAUGAGACUAAAGGACUGAGGUAUACCUGACUGGACAAUAGCUCCAAGUGUGGUAGGACUAGCAUUCUUACUCACAUGGAAGAAGAUAAAAUAGGGAAUGAGGAUACCAGAUUCUUAGAAUACAUCGGUACAGGAGUGUUGGAUGUCGUCCCUAGGGUAGCCUCAAUUGCUGCAAUCUGUUGUUGCAGCCCUUCCAGUUGUUGCUGAGUUAUUCUUGAUGAGGAAGCUUACACGAUAGGGUUGGAAUGUGCCGAAAAUUCACCAACCUCAAAUGUUGAGUGAAUUUGGGGAUUCUUAUCAUCAGGGUAAUAAAUGAGGUUAUUGGGUGGCAUGACAUACAAAUUUGAUUGCAGAAGUGGUGAUCGCCGGUUGGAAUUAGGUGGUAGAACACGAAUUGGCACGUGGGGAACACUACAGGCAGCAGAUGAAGAACGAGGGUGGCACGGUUGGGUUGGCCGGCAGCGUCUGAACACAAUGGACCGGCGCGUGGGAUGCGUGUGGCGGCGCGUGGGCGGGUUCUGGCUGUGCGGACAAUGAGAAUAUUUGCCGAAUUAUGUUUCCCGCAUUUUCUGAAGGCGGCGGAACCAUUCGUCCAUGAUAGCAUUGAUCUGAGCAUUUACAACGGCGGUGACGACGACACUAAAACUGGUGGCUGUUUCCUUUGUGUGAUUUCCAUCACUGGUUGUGUUUUCUAGGGUGUGUUCAAUGUCUUGCUAUGAUACCAUAUUGAAAGGAGAGACAAAAAGCACACACCAAUUUACGUGAAAACCCGAGUACCGGAAGAAAAACCACGAUUGUUUGUCGUUAUUAGGUACAAGGGAGAAUAAAUAGAGAAUACAAGGGAAUAAAAAAGGAAAAGAUUUAGGAAAUAAGGAAAAUAUUCCCAUAAUCUUUCCUUAAACAUUCUAGGAUUCUAACAAGGAACAUAUUUAGAAAAUAAGGAAAGGAUUCCAAGAAUUUUUUAAUAACCUCAAUAGUGGGCAUACUCAAGUAUUUGUUUUGAACACUUCUCUCUCCCUUGUAUGCGGUGGGGGAGGGACAUUAUUUAUACAUAAUCCUGUCCUGUUUAUACAAUAAUGGAAUAUUUUGAGGAUAUUAUGUUGCUACUCAAUGCGAUCUAUGAAGAGAGCCUUGAGUUGUAAGUUUUCUAGAAUAUAAAGUUUAUUUUCAAGUUGCAAGAAACCUUGGUGUAAGAAUAGGUGAAAAACGUAAUGUUUUCGUUAUUAAGUAUUCAUCAUAAUGUUGUGAUUUCUCUUUUUUGGCCUGUUGUCCCAAACUUGGUUCUAGGAUUCACAUGAGGAGUCCAAAGCUGUGACCAAAGCUCCAGCAAUGAAAGGUAAUCUUUAUAACCACACAUAAUUUUUGUAUCCUACUUUUUCCUUAAAACUUAUGUUUGUUUGAGAUCUCUGGAAAUUUAUUUGCACAGCCUCGUUUUUGGUUUCUAUUGCAUAUACUCUAUGGUCUCACAAAUGUAGUUCAUAGAACUAAUGAACUAUCCAAUAAUAUGUGGUGGAUGAACAAAGUGAAAUGGAAAUUAAGGUGUAGUGAAAUGACAGAUGAAAUUUUACCAACACACAAAGCUUUAUCUCCUAACACACUGUGCCCAAGCAUAAGUAGAUGCAUGAGCAAAUAAUACUGGGUUUGUAUUUGAGGGUUGGUUCUUUGGGGAAAAUUUCUUUCCCUUAGAUGUGUUGAAGAAAGAAACCAUACAAUGCUCACACAGGGCAAGUAGGUAACCAAAUAACCUUCUUGCAACCAAAAACGGGUAACCCACUAUAAGGAUGUUGUUGGAAAGAGCAGUAGCCCAACAAAAAACCUCCAAAAUGAGAUUCCAACAUUGUUGAGCAAAAGGACAAUGAAUAAUAAUGUGGGCCGGGGACUCAGCAUUAACAUAACACAUAAUACACCAAGAUGGUCAAUGAGACAUAUAAGGCAUACGACUUUGGAGAUGAUCAGUAGUGUUAAUUGGUUUAUGGGUAAGCUCCUAGAGAAAAAGAAUAAUUUUCUUCGGGAAAUGAUCCAUCCAAAUAACUAAAUAAAAAUCCCAAUCAAAAGACUCGAGAGCACCUGUCAAGUCAUCCAUAAUAGAUUUUAUAGUAAAAGUAGAUGAGGAGUCCAUAGCCCAUCUCCAAAAAUUAGGCACCAUACAAAAUCUGACAUUGGACAAAAUUGUAGACAGAAAGGCCCAUUCCUGAAUUUUAGGGUCAGUAAAACGGUGACGAAAGUGCAAGUCCCAAGUCUUAGAAUCAGCAAGCCACGCUUCAACAACAAAAAUAUCAGGAGUACAAUAGAGAUGGAACAAAUGAGGGAAAAUCACAAAGAGCGUACCACAAUCAUGCCAACGAUCUUUCCAAAAAGAGAUAGUGUCACUAGUACCAAGACAAUGUUGAGUCAAAGAAACAACUAAGUUAGUAGUAUGGCAGUCGCUCCAUGGAGACUUUGAUGACCUUCUAGCAGUAGUUGGCCAAACACAAGAGGGAUGGUAGUACUUAGCCACAUUUAGCUUACGCCACAGCAUCAUGCUCGUGUCAAAACCUCUGGAUCCAUUUAGCCAAAAGGGCAUAAUUUCGAUGGCGGAAAUUACCAAUACCGCUUAGGGUGCUGUGUAGUAAUCCAAUUAACAUUAUGCAUACCAUUUUCAAGAACCAUCCCAAAGAAAGUCACGAAUCAGUUUUUCCAACCAAAUAACAUCAUUAGGUGCAAGAAAAAGUGUAUGACGACCACCCUUGGAGAUAUAGGCAUGUUUCCAGUUAUGAAGCUUAUGAUUUCUCAAUAAUUGGUUGCCAAAAAUCAUCGAUUUAGAAUUACCACCAAGGGGAAGACCAAGAUAAGAGGCUGGCCAAUGACCCCUUUUACACCCAAAAGCAGACACCAUCCAAUGCAGAUCAUCAUCAGAAAUAUGAAUACCAAGAAUCUCACUAUUAGAGAGGUUUAUAGAUAAGCUAGAAGCUUGUUCGAAAACAUGAGUAACCUCAAAUAAAUGUGUAAGUGCAGCACGAUCAGCAGUGGAAAAGAGCAAGCUGUAGUCGGCAAUUUGCAAGUGAUUCAGAAAAAAACUAGAAGCACCAAUAUGUUGAGUGGCAAUCAAGUUUUUAGAUAUACUAUGGUCCAACAGACGACUUAAGCAAUCAACAACCAAUAUAAAAAGAAAAGGAGAAAGCAGAUCAUCUUGUCUGAUACCACCAUGGGUGGGGAUAAUCUUACCACCAGGUCUACCAUUGAUAAUGAUAGAAAAGUUUGCACUAGAGAUGUAACCUUGAAUCCACUUACGCCAAACCCUUCCAAAGCCUUUAGCCUGAAGAAUGGCAUCCAAAAUGUCCCAAUCAACUGUAUCAAAUGCCUUUUCAAGAUCAAGUUUAAUAUAAACACACCCUUCUUUUGUUCAUGAAACCAAUCAUCAACCAUUUCCUUUGCCAUAAGGGAUGCAUCCAGAAUCUGUCUAUUCUCAACAAAAGUAAGUUGGUUCAAAGCAAUGGUGGAAGGAAGAACCUGCUUCAAAUGUUUCGAUAAUACCCAAGCAAUAAAUCUUCUAAGCACAAGGAAUGAGGCUAAUCGUCUGGUAAUCAGAGACCUGUCUUUGCAUCCAUUUUCUUGGGGAUGAGAGUCAUGAGACAUAUAUAGGUUUCAUUUAGGGAGGCAUUGAUAAUUCCAGAAUCAAAGAAAUCAUGGAUCAUAGUCAUAGUAUCACCUUUUAAAGUAGGCCAGAAAAAUUUGAAAAAUUCAGCAGUAAAACCAUCUGGACUGGGAGAAUUAUUAGCCAAGAGAAGAAAUAGCCAAGAAAACCUCCUCGUCCGAAAAUGGACGUUCAAGAUCAGCAGCAAUAACAGUCGAUAUUGGACUCCAAUUCACAUUUGUGGGAAGGAACCACGAACCACCCUUCUUAGUAAAGAGUUCUGUGUAAAAAUUGCAAAAUUCAGAUUCAGUACUGUCAAUAUGCAAAAGGCUCUAACCUUUUCUAGAGAGGAUUUCAGUUAUCGAACUCUUCCUUUUUCAGGCAGCAACCAUACAAUGAAAAGAAUGUGUAUUUUCAUCCCCAAUCCAUGAACCAUUUAAGUUUACAACGUUGCCGCCAUUGGAUGUGCUCUUGAGCUGUUAAUUGUUCGAUUUGUUCUCUCAAUGAACGACUUGUAGAUAGUUGUUCUUCAGAAAGUUGUGUCCCGUUGCUGAUGUUGUUCAACUAUCAAGCUGUCAAGAAACUUUAUGUACUGUUUUUCGACCUAUGGUUGUGGAUUGUGCAUGUUGAGAUCACUACCAUGGGUAUUGACUAAAAAUGCUAAAAAACUUCAUUCUGUUUUCAUGGAUAUAUGGGUGCACGUCAUUCUAUCAAAGUUCUUUAUCAUUUAGGGAAAUUAAUAUAAUUUGGUUUCAUUUUCAAAGGUUAAUAUUAUCUGAUUCUUUUGGCUAAAGAUUUUCCCUCCUUUAAUCUAAUUUUUAGUUUAUGCUUAGGGGCUGCAUGGUUAGGUUAUGCAUUAUAUUGGUAGUUUCUAGAGAUUCCAUAUUCAUCAAAGUUACUAAUGUGCCUUGUACUCCAGCGAUCAAGCAGCGGAUGGAAAAAGAUGUCGAUGAGGUUGGGAAAGUCGCACGUUAUGUGAAGACUAAAGUUGAAGAACUCGACAGAGAGGUAAGUCCUUUUUCUGCAUCGACUUGAUAUUGAAUGUUCCAACAAUCUAUUGCCACACUUUUGUUUCUAGUAGUAGUAAGUUCUAAUAUGCCAUGUUUUUAAGAAAGGAUUGUUGAGGCACCCUUACUCCCAUAUUUAUCAUUUUUGGGGUGUUGGUGUUACAGAAUCUGUCAAAUAGGCAGAAGCUCGGGUGUGGAAAAGGAUCAGGUGUAGAUAGAUCAAGAACAGCAACUACUCUGUAUGUUGCAUUCCAGCUUUUUUGAAUCAUAUAGCUUCUUUCUUUUUAUGAUUGUUCCCACGUUAAUUGAAAACUGUUUCAUAAUUAAUGAGAUAAAUACAAGCCACUGUGUUUAUGAUGCGUCUGUUUUUACUAUUACCAUAUGGGCCAACUUUUUUAAGUAAGAUAAAAGUUAAAACAUUGUGCCUUCAACUGCUAAAUAGGAAUAUUGUAGGCUCUCUUUGAUAAUCAUUUGGUUUUCACCUUUGGUUUUAAUUUUUAAAAUUAAGACUAUAUACACUACUCCUACCCUAUGGAGCACAGACCCUUUGUUUUUUACCAAGUGUAUUGUAUGUGUUAGAAAUGUGUUUUGGCACGAAUAGUCUGGACAUGUUUCAGACACAUGUCUGCAAGCUAAACAGUCUGAUGAAUAUAUUAUUUUUCUUUUCUAAUUUCAAACAAAACUUGGAGAUGACUUGUAGAUCGCUCCAGAAAAUAUUUAACUAAAAAAUUAGGGAAAAAGUUUGUGAUUCUUAUAAUUGAAUCCUAAUAUAUUGAUCAAUCUUCGACUAUUAGGACAUCUUCAUCCUCUAGUCAUAUCCAACUAAAACUUUUUAUCUCUGUUAGGGAUUGUUUGGCUCACCAAAUUCUUGAGUUGGUGUUAAAUAACUGAAUUCCAUCAACUUCAAUAGUGUUGAUUAUUGCAGUUUGCUCAAUUUAUCGAAGAACUUCAUCUUACCUUCUCUCUCUCAUUUUCAUAUUUAUCAAGGAACUCCAACUAACAACUCUACACUGUAAACAGACUUCCUAACUCCAGACUUUUGAACUCAACUCAGCACCCAAAAAUCCCAUUAAUAUUUCUCUGUUUUUAUGAUAAAUUUACAUGUUUUAUCUAUGUAAAAAGGUCAGUUCCCUCUCCUCUCUCCUCUCUCCUCUCUCCUCCCUCCACCAUUCUCCCCGGAUUAGCUAGGCCUCUUCGACGAGCCCCUCAACAUGGAAAUUGCUAGCUGCAAAGUUAACCAAUCUCGCUAUUGUGUUUGGAAAGAGAAAGAAAACUUUAUUAUUGAAGAUGUGGAAGCUAGCAAAUUCAUAUCAAUCUUCGAAGCUCAACUUUGAUGGACUUUGCACACUAUUUCAGAUUUCCUCAAUAAUCCAGGAGACCGCUUCUUCACGAAAGAUGGUGAAGUUGACGGAGGGCAAAUGAAGAUCUUCAAGUUCCAAGCCAACUCAAGGUGGAUCCUCAACUGUGACAUUUGGUCUUAUUCAGGCGGUUACUCUAUCCUUAGAAUCUGCUCAGGAGUUAAUAUGCAAGGUUGGUCCUCCUUCUGUAGAAUGCUGAAAAAGUAUGUAGACAUAGUUGAUUAUCCUGUUGGUUCUCAGACAUUUCUAUUAAAGACCCCUUCCAGCCUUCGGUGGAAAAGCAAAGUUAUGCUACGGUCAAAUCCAAAAUCUCCAACCAAUCAGUACCUAGGUCUGGAAAAAUGGUACCACGGCUGACUUUCAACCAUAAAGGUCCUUCACCGGUCUCAGUUCGCCAUUCCCCAUCAAUCCAAAAACCAAGUUAAGUGAAAUCCAUGAAGUGGCCAAGCUUAACUUUGAUAACCUCUGGAUUAUCUCAAAACUUUUUGCUUCUGAUGAUUGGAGAUCGAUCCACAAAUUUCUUGAAUCGAAAUUCCAAACCAGCAUUGUUAUUAACCCCCUAUAUGAUGAAAAUACCCUUAUCAGUAUUGAUCAGGUCUCCCUGAGUGACCUCAUUGGUAAAGUAGGUAAAUGGCAAGCAUAGGGUAAUUUUCACCUAAAACUUGAAAAAUGGGACAACUCGAAACAUAGUAGGCCACUAGUGUUGAAAGACUAUGGAGGUUGGCUUAAAGUUAAGAACCCUCCCCUUGAUUUCUGGUGUAGAAGUAUUUUCGAAGCAGUUGGAGACCAUUUUGGAGGUCUCACAGAAAUAGCCAUUGAAACCCUCAAUUUUACCAAUUGUAAUGAAGCUCAUAUUAAGGUCAAGAAGAACCAGUGUGGCUUUGUUCCCUCAACGAUUGAAAUUUCAAACCAAAAGAGGGGAAACAUAUUUUUACAUUUUGGAGACUUUGAGUUUCUAAGCCCUCCUUUUUUAUGUGCAAGACGUUUACAGUAAUUCCAUAGACUGGUUGAGGGUAAGAGAAGCAUUGCUUGAUGAGGGGUGUGAUAUUUCCUCCUUCCCACAAUUACUUAAUGUACCAAGAUCGGUUUUGCAACCUUACCAAGAUGUAGAAACCCUUUUCAAUCUCUGCAACAUUUUCCGGCCACCUCUCUGACCCCGGAGAAGAUGAAAGGUUCUGUUACAUAGGUGGCAGCCAACUCCAUUGGGCAGGAACCUGAACAGUCUCCACUUUUAAUUAAUGAAACUUCUAUUGGACACAACUGUAUCAAAAAGAAAAGGGUAAUUUGACAGCUACCCUUUAAUUUGACAGCUGUAAACAUAAGUAGAGAGAGAAAAAAGGGUAAAUUCCCUUUAAUUACUAUCAUGCAUAAUUAUAAAAUUUUAAAAGUAAUUAAAGAUAACGGUUUUCCCUCCAACCAACGGCAAUUUCCUAAUCUGACCUCCACAGAUCCUUCUCCUUAAGUAUAUGGUUUCUGUAACAAGACUAAAUCUUCACAAGGUGACAAAUCUCUACGAGUACAAGCUCCGAAAAUUCUGAAGUACUAUUCUCGGAAGCAUACUUUUAAUAAUUUAUGGAUCGCCUUAUUGAAGUCUGAGUUGAAUGGAUGUAACAUCAAAAUACCAUUUUCAGCCCCCUCUCGGAAGCAUAGUUCACAACCUUCUAUUUCAGCAAAAAAUCCAGACCUUUUGGAGGUUUGCAGCUCCAAAAUCUAGACUUCUAAUUGCCUUUUCAGGUCAGUAAACUCAGGCUCUCCUACCAAGCAUUUCAAAUACUUAAAACUCCCCAAUUUUAACUCUAAAGUUAAUUUGUUGCCAGGCUUCCCUUGUCGUGCUGCCAUUGACAAACUGACCCUCAAGACCUUGGAGUCUCCAUUUAGUUUCUGUAGUGAGGAAUCCUUGGGAUUUCACAAUGGUUUUGAUUUCAAGAGUAAUGAGGAAAUUGAAGGGGCUGACCUCUCUUCCCUAUUUGAUGGAGCCAAUGUUGUUCCCAUCAAAUUUCCCUCGGAAUUGCCUAAGGAUCUGCUACCCUUAGUCAAUAUUGUGGCAUCAUUUUAGUUUAGGGGUUUAAAUGACAUCAAAAAAAGAGCAGGCUUGAAGAAAUUGAUAAAAAAUCAUAAUCCAGAUAUCGUCUUGAUACAAGAAUAAAAAAUGAAAGUCGUCAAUUCUGUACUUAUAAAAUCAAUAUGGAGUUCUAGAGACAUCGGCUGGGAAUUCGUGGAAUCAAUAGGUGCCUCCGGAGGAAUAUUGACAAUGUGGGACAAUAGUUUAAUUUCAGUAUUUGAGCAAGGCAGAUUCUCUGUUAAUUCUCUCUCAGCCUACUUAAUCUCUGCCUCCCCAAUGGAUAAAAAACUCUUUAAAGCCCUAUGGAAAUCAUGCUGCCUCGGAGAUUGAACAUCUUGAUGUGGACCAUGCUUUACGGGUCCCUAAAUUGUGCAGAAAUUCCCCAAAAGAAGUUCCCAAGCAGGUGCCUCUAGCCUUCGGUUUGCCCUCUCUGUAUGAAUGCUAACGAGUCUUUGCUUCAUCUCUUCCUGCUUUGCCUCUAGUCCUCCUAUUGUUGGAGCGGUUUCUUCUCCAUCUUUGAUAUUGCUUGGGUCUUUGAUGCCUCCCUCAGCUCCUUGGUGCUUUAGCUAUUGGAGGGUCUGCCUUUACCUAAGAAACCUCGACUGAUUUGGUUAAAUCUACUAAAAGCUCUUUUAGCGAAAUUAUGGUUUGAACGCAAUCAACGGAUCUUUCAUGACAAGAAAAGACCAAGCUCAAAAAUCUUCAAUUCAGUGCAAUGUAAUGCAGCAGCUUAGUGCUCUCCCAACAAGAAUUUUGCAAAUUACUCCACUCAAGACCUUUUGUCUCAACUGGACAGUUUUUCUAUCUCAGUUAGUUUCUUAGGCCGCUUCUGAUGUGUUUCUCCCUAUCUGGACUUCCAUGGAGCUUAUUUCUAUGCCUUCUUUUUUAUUCUCACAUUAGUAUUUUUGUUGUGUUAAGAAGGCUCAGCCGGUCCAACUUUGUGUUUCUGCCCUACUUUCUUUUCUUUUCUAGUUUUCGGUGGUCUUUUAGUUUUGCUAUAAUAGGCUGGAUUUCGCUCUCAUUGUAUGAGGCUGGACUUCGUUCUCAUUGCUGUAAUAUGCUAGUUUUAUUUGGGAUAUGAUGUUUUGGUGCCAAGGGAGUGUCAAGUUAGUUGAGAUGUCUGGGUGCACCUUUUGAUCCCCUAGUUUUUCUUUUGCUUGUUUAGACUUCUUUAUUGUGCUCACUAUAUAUUUCUCUUGUACAUUGAGUUCUAUUUAUUAAUAAAGAAGUUUGCUCCGUUUCAAAAAAUAAGUAUUAAUAUGUCAAUAUAGACAUAUUUUACUAUAAAAAAGAAGUUUCCCCAACAUGUUUGUGUCUUACGUCUUAAGAUAUCAACAUGUCGUCAUGUUCGUGUCAUGCUGUUUAGCUUCCACAUUUGUUUUGUUAUUUAGUUUAUAUGGAUGUUUCAAACUCCAAGUCAAGAUUUAAAUACUAAAAAGUGUACUUUAGCUAUGAAUUCAAACAUUCCCUUGAAAGCUCUUUACUAAUGUCUUAACUCUAUGUUGCUUUGGUUCUUUCAUUGUUUCUUCUUUGUGAUUGUUUGUUGGUCGUUUUCCCUAUAAUAUUGCUCGAGUUCAUCUUUGUUUAGUUUAUUUGGAUGGUUUUGUCUUUUUCUUAUUUUGCUCUAAGUAUAAUACUCUUGUACUUUGAGCAUUAGUCUCAUUUAUUAUUAAUAAAGAGGCUUGCCUGCGUCUCAAAAAAUUCAAACAUUUCAUUAAGUAAAAUGAAAAUCAUUUAAAAAAAACUGUGAGAACAUAAUCACAAUAAUUGUAUCAAUUUAAUCCCUGAAAUUGUAAGUAUUCCAUUUACACCUUUUUCUAUAUUUUAUUAGACCUAUUGUAUAGCACUUGUUCCGUUUCAUCUUAAAAAGUUAUCGUAUUGAACUUGCAAGUAGUGAGUGAGCUGAGCUUCAGAUUCUUAAGGGGCUUUAGUCUCACUGGAAAGAAGGGGUUAUAAUCAACCAAUGUUAGUGGUCGUCGGCUCCUGUUGAAUUUUUUUUUUUCAUUCAUUCAUUCAUUCCUUUGUAUUCAAGCUGGAAAAUUCUAUGGGAUUACCGAAGUCUAUGUCGAUUCAUUAAUCUAAUUUGGAAAAUGGAUUUUGAUCAUGAAUUGUGUUUGGGAAGAUCCUAGAGUUUUUUUUUACCAAGCAAGCUUCUCCGCAUAAGACCUCGAUGGGGUCAUCAUCUCUUAGCCUCCUCGUGGUGUUCCUUCUCCAAGGAUCUCAAGUUUGUCUCAGUGUGAGUUGAUGGAUGUCUCCUAUAGUCUUUUAUUUGUAUUUGUAUUUGUAUUUCUUUGUACUUCUUUUGGUUUUGUUUUGCCUUUGGAUAUUACCCCUUUGUUUUGGUCUUUAGCUUGUUUGGAUAUGAUGAGGGUGUCAACCCUUAGGAGUUAGGUGCACCUCUUGAUCCAUGGUUACAUAUGUUCAUUGUAUAAUUCUUUUGUACUAUGAGCUUUUGUCUCAUUAUUAUUAUAUUAAUAAAGAGACCGUCUCCUUUUCAAAAAACAAAUUGUUAUAGUCACGACUUUAUUGAACAAUAUAUGUUCUAUAGGUUGUUUCCUUCGGUUCUAAUUAUACAAUCAUAAGUUUCACACAAGUUUUUUCCAGAAAAAAUGUAAUGAGUGAAGUAGGUUGAUAUACUUGUAAAAGUUUAGGGUUUAAAUUGAUAUAAUUGUUAGUUUAGUGUUUAAAUUGAUACAACUCCUAAAGUUUAGGGGUAUAAUUCGAUAUUUUCCCUAGAAUUUGUUUGUGCAAGAUUCUUAUCUUAGAUGGUUUUUCUUUUGUAUAACUUAAAGAAAGCCUUGUAUUUGCUUACAAAUACAGAGAAAAAAUGUAAUAAUAUUUCUAUUCCAAAUUCAAGUGAAAAGGUGUUUUCUUGGAUCUUGCUGUAGUUCGGCUAUAAUGUCAAGUCAAAGUUUAGUUUUUCUUUUUGAUUUCUUUUUCCCAUUUUUCGUUCAAAUUUGUUAUAAUUCAUAUAGCUUCCUCAAUUUGUAAAUUUCAUGAAGUCUUGUAAAUAUAUUUUCUAUGAAUUGAAUUUUCCGCUCGUUGAUUGUGUUCUUUUUUGUUUUAUUUAGUGCCUUAAAAAAGAAGUUAAAAGACAAGAUGACUGAAUUCCAGGUAAGUUUUUUUUUAUCUCUUUAUUGGAUUCAAGUCAUUAUUGCUUAAAACCAUGGGUUGAAUAUAUUGCAAUGAUAACUGUAGAUUUUACGGGAAAAAAUCCAUCAAGAGUAUCGGGAUGUUGUUGAGAGACGGGUUUUCACAGGUGUGUUCCCUCCCUCAGUCAUGAAAAUUCUAGUGCUUAAAGUUUUAUAAUUUUGGAGUUAGUUUUCACUGUUGGCUUCUUUGAUUUUCAGUCACGGGUGCUAGGGCUGAUGAAGAGGUAGUACUUCCACUAUUCUUAGAAUCCCUGUGGAUCCCAUUGAUAAUAUUUUAAUGUGCAACGGUCGUGUUUCAAUUUUAUGAACGUGCAGACCAUUGAGAAAUUAAUUGAAACUGGGGAUAGUGAACAAAUUUUUCAGAAGGCAAUUCAAGAACAAGGGCGAGGACAGGUAUAUUAGUUCUCCCUUAUCAUCACUUCCCCUUCUUCCUUUUCCCAGUAACAUUAUUUGCAUUGAAGUUUUAGCGUUGAAAGUUUAUGCUUUGAAGCUUUAUUGGUGUACAUGGUUAUGAACAUCUCAGUACACUUUUUGUGCCUUGAUUCGUGUUGUUGAUAUUUUUCUUUUCAUAUAUUACUUUGUAGGUAAUGGACACUUUAGCUGAAAUUCACGAACGUCACAGUGCAGUUAGAGAACUGGAAAGGAAGUUACUUGAGUUACAGCAGGUACAUUUUUAUGCAUACAGGAUCUUGAUUCCCCAGAAAUGGUAGCUAUGUGAAGUCAAACAUUGAGAAGAAAAGUUAUCUACUAUCAGCAGUAUAAUGUUUAAUAUAAAUCUUAUUUUGCUGUGCUGACAUUCAUUAUUAUCAUUUCGCUCUUAAAUUUUGCAUCCAGUUGAAUAUCCAACUUUAGUUUGAUUUCUUUUAUGCAACUGCUAAGUCAACUCACCAUGUUUGGAUAUUUAGACGGGCUGGUUGUACGAUUGGUUUUUAUGGCUGCUUCAAUCCAAUUAUUUUUCAAGGCAGGUUAAGAAAAACAUUGGAUGAAAUGAGAAUAAGGAGUUUUAAUUACCGUCUGGUGUCUAUUUUAAACAUUGAAUGACAUUGUAUUAAUUAGAUUUGUCAUAAAUCCUUGAGGAAUUUAUAAACUACAUUACUAUAAACUUUAGCACCACCUCCUUUAUGAGCUCUUCCGAGAGUGGUAUCUUCAGAAAAUUUUCCUGCAAGUACAAUAGUUGUUGGCCUUGAAUGUUCAAACUGCAAUCUGAAGAGGCUUUUCUGUACCUCUUUUUUUAUCUUUCCUUCUUUUUCUUUCCGAUAUCCAUCUCUCAUUCAAAAGAAUCACAGUACAUAUAACAAAACAUUACAUCGACCAACUAUCCUUAACUUUGCAGGUAUUUCUCGAUAUGGCAGUAUUGGUGGAGGCACAAGGGGAUAUGCUCGACAAUAUCGAAUCACAUGUAAAUACUCUAAUAGUUUGAUCUUGGAAUAUCUUCAUUUUGGAGUUGUAGGUGUGAAGUGUAACUAAAUGUAAAAUGAAUUUGUAACUACACGAUAUUCAUUCUGUUUGUAAUUCUUUCAGGUUACAAGUGCAGUAGAUCAUGUGCAACAAGGGAAUACUGCUCUUCAAAAGGCAAAGAAGCUACAAAAGAAUUCUAGGAAAUGGAUGUGCAUUGCCAUCAUAAUCCUUCUAAUCAUUGUUGUGGUCAUAGUAGUGGGAGUUCUUAAGCCAUGGAAUAAUGGUAAGGGUGCCUAAGUGCCCAGCAUCUUUCUGUAUAAAUAUAUCAUUUCAAAGCCAUUUGUACCUCUGCCUUUGACCUACAAUUUGUGUUGAUUUUGUGAUCCAUUUUUGGAACAAAGAUGCUAGGUGUGUGUCAUAUUGUUUUCAAGAUGAAGCAUAUAUAAAUAUAUGUGAGCAUAUUCUUUAUCUCUUCAACAAAAUGUGCAUUUGCUUGUGCAUUCUGUGAAAUAAAACAUUUUUCUCCAAGUUCAGUUCAUUGGCCUCCCUUUUUUCUCAACCGCAAGGGGGUUUCAACCUGAGCUGUUUGUGGAAUAACUUGACUUUCAGCAUGUGGUAGCUAUAUUGGGAUGUAUUCAACUUCUCCUUCAAAAUCAAUUUUAAUAAUAUGAAAUUUUCGUUUACAAGAUUAGUUAUACAAAUAUAACCAAAUAAUAACGACCAAGUAUUUGGUAAAUAAUAGAUUAGGAGAUUGAUCUUUACGUACAUAUUAUAAGUGCUUGAAUUGAAUUAACAGUUCAACCACAGCCCUGAAUUCUCAUAUUUUGAAAAAUCAUCAAUAAUCUAUUCUUUUUAUUAUACUGCAAAUGGAAAACUGGAUUUGAAUCGAUGAACACAAUUAAAGUAAUAGAAGUCUGGCCAUUUGAACCUAGCAACUAAAACUAAUAAAAUGAACUUGCUAUAUCUACUCUACAAACUUUUUCCAAUAUAAAAGGUGUUAACUUUAAAUAAUACAUAGACCACAUAUUUUUCAAAGAAAUGCAUGACAAAUUUUGUUAAGGUGAGCAGGAUAGAUCCAAAAUCAAGCCAAAUGACCAAACUAAAGGUGGUCGGUAGGAGAUAAAGAACGGUUCAAUCGGUUUCGAUUUGAAAAAAAUCCAGAUUGGUAACUUACUAAAAAAUAAAAUCAAGACUUGAACCGAUUGAUCAAUCAACAAAUGAUCGGUUUGAACAUUUAAUAAACUGACUUCGACCGAUCGAUGUUCAUCCCUAAAUUUAAUGUGAGUCGAUCUUUUACUAACCAUAUGAUUAUCACCUAAUGCAUUCCUACUAGCAAUAUGAGACAUUAGGUUUUGAAAAUUGAUGUUUAAAUUUGGAUAGCUACAUGAUGAAAAAAAAAAAACUUUAGAUAACAAAUGGAAUUAACCUCAAAACUCAUGAGUCUCAAAAAGAGCAUAUAGGCUUUGCUUAUUUUAUUUUAUUUACUUUUGUGGAAUAUAGUCUUCCCCUGCUCCCCCUCUCCUCCGCCCUGUUCCUCUCGAAGAAGCUCAAAUCCCAUCGCCUGCCGCCGUCCACUACUCGACUUUCCUCCGGCUUCUAGGAUACCGGUACGUCUCUCUCCAUCUCUCAACCCAACCCACUACCUUGAUUCUCGUCCAGUUUAGGGUUUCAUUGUUAUGCUCACAUCGGCGACCAUCUUUGGGUUUUUAGUACUUGCCGUUUCCACUGCUAUUGCAUUCGUGACAACUAAACUGAACUUUAGCCAUCUAUAAUCACCUGUAUAUAUUGAUCUUACAAAAUAAGUUUUUUUUUUUAGAUUGUGUAAGCAAAUUCAGUUUUAGGGUUUAUUGCCUUCCUUGCUGUUUCUGUUUCUUUUUAUGUUUCUGUUACGUUGUCUGAUUUGCGCUGCUUUGUUCUCUCCUUGGCAGUUUUGAUUCAAAUGACUGCAUUGUCAUUUCUGAGGCCAAGAAAAUCUGCUAUCUGCUCCUUGGUUUUUGGCAUUUCCCCUCAAGUUUUUGAGAAAUUUGGCUUAUUCUGCCCCAAGAUUGUUAAAUCCUUCCUGAAUCCAUGUGCCCAUCAAUCGCACAUUCAAAGCUUUUGGAGGGUUUUUCCAUUAGGUGUACUGUAUUCGACUCAAUCCUCAAAACUUCCUGAAUAUGAAAUGCCUACGGUCACAUGGGGAGCUGUUCAAGGGCGAAAAGAAAAACUUGUGUCCCGUGUCAUAAUCUGUGACUACUUAAAGAGUUUGGGGAUUGUUCCUGAUGAAUUAGAACACUUGGAGUUGCCUUCUACUGUUGAAGUCAUGAGAGAGCGUGUCGAGUUUCUUCAGAAGUUAGGAUUGACAAUCGAUGACAUUAACGAGUUCCCAUUAAUUCUAGGCUGUAGUGUUCGCAAAAAUAUGAUACCUGUUCUAGGUUACUUAGAGAAAAUUGGGAUUCCAAGGCCGAAACUUGGAGAAUUUAUUAAGAAUUAUCCACAGGUCUUGCAUGCCAGUGUCAUUGUUGAGCUUGCUCCCGUCAUUAAGCUUCUUCGUGGGCUCGAUGUCGAGAAAGAAGAUAUUGGAUAUGUCCUCCAGAAAUACCCUGAGCUUCUGGGUUUCAAGCUUGAGGGGACAAUGAGUACAUCUGUUGCAUAUCUUGUGAGUAUAGGUGUUAAUCCGAGAGAUAUUGGACCAAUGGUCACACAGUACCCGUUCUUUCUGGGGAUGAGGGUUGGAACCAUGAUCAAGCCCCUUGUUGAGUUUAUUGUUUCUCUAGGUUUGCCGAAGAAGAUAGUAGCAAGAAUGCUCGAGAAGCGAGCAUACAUACUUGGUUACGAUCUUGGAGAGACAGUGAAACCCAAUAUAGAUUGCUUGCUAAGCUUUGGGAUUAGGAAGGAGCUGCUUCCUUCAGUGAUUGCACAAUAUCCACUAAUUCUGGGGUUGCCUUUGAAAGCUAAGAUGUCUUCUCAGCAAUUCUUCUUUGACCUAAAGCUCAAGAUUGAUCCUGCAGGGUUCGCACAGGUGAUCGAAAAAAUGCCACAGAUGGUCAGCCUUCACCAACAUGUGAUAAUUAAACCUGCAGAAUUCCUUCUUGAACGCGGUAUAGCGUCCUCUGAUGUAGCAAAGAUGAUCGUUCAAUGCCCCCAGCUUCUUGCUUGUCGUGUACCACUCAUGAAAAAUAGUUACUACUUCUUCAAGUCUGAUAUGGGGAGGCCAAUUAAAGAGCUUGUCGACUUCCCUGAAUAUUUUACAUACAGUUUGGAAUCGAGGAUAAAACCAAGGUAUCAGAGGCUGCAGAGCAAGGGAAUCAGUUGUUCAUUAAAUUGGUUUCUCAACUGCAGUGAUCAAAGGUUUGAGGAAAGACUGAAAGGUGAAUUCAUUGAGACAGAGAGUUUGAGGCCAUCAUUUUGUAUGGGAGGGAGGUUAGAGCUGCCAAGUAAUGAGACUAUUGUGUCAGAUGAUGAGGAUGAGUGUGAUGAACAACUUCAUAGACGCAUUGUUUCUCUUUAGAAAAUUCCCCCUUUUAUUUACUCUAUUCAAUUCAAUUCAUCUUUUUGCUCUGUCUGUUUGGUUUGUGAUCUUUUUUUGGUUUUAUGUUUUUCUAAAACCAAAUAUACAAAGAUAGUGGUGAGAUUAAACAUUGUAUACUUGUUCUCACGAAGGAUUUUCAAAAACUAACUCUUGAAAACAACCCUACCCUAAAUUCAAUGAUAUUUAUUGUUCAUUUAAUUAAUAUAUAAGGUUGCCAACUUCAUUUCGUAAAUUAAAUACAAACAUAAUUUUUCUUCAUAUGUUUUCCAUGUUAAUCCAAUUCAAUCAUCUUUGAUUCCUUAAACUAUCUCUAUCUCUAUGGAUUAUUUACUUUAGACACUAAAACUUUAAACUAACACACUUCUGAGAGUUAUCAAUGACAUGUAAUUUAGUUGGAUGGUUACACAAAAUUAGUGGUUUUUUUUUUGUUUUUGUUCUCUUAUGUUCCUUCUUUUUGCUUUUGCCCAAAAUCAUAAACUUUUGAUUGCGCCCAUUGUGGUGAUAUUCAAAUGUUUAGUUCUAUCAAGUAUGCUUUUACUAUGUAAAAAUUAUUAUUAACAAUGUUGAUAUUGAAUUGUAUAUGACCAUAUUCAGACCCAUAAUAACAUUUUAUGUAAUAACAAUUGUCUCAGGUGGACUUUGUUAUCCCAAGUUACCUGGGCUUUCGAAUGAAAAAAAAAUGUUACUUUUAAACAAAUUAGUUAUAUAAUCUAUUAAUAUAACAUAAUCCAAAUUUUGUUAUAUAUGUAAAUUCUUGAAAUAUAUUUGAUAUUGUAACGCAAAAUAGAACAAAAUCAAUCAGAUCUUUUGUAGCUAAUUUAAGAUUUUUUCCUUUUGUUUUUCAAUAUUUUACGAAUAAUUUCAAUUUUGUUGUUAUCAUAACAAUUUCACUGAAUUCUUUUGCAUAUACAAAUACUUUACUAUAUUUACAACAACACCCAUCAAGGAUUAAACACAUAAAUUUAGCCAAACAUGAAAAAUUAUCAUAAAUAAGAAAGAAACGGAUUGUGCAAUAAUAUCUUUUGCCAAGUUUAAAGAAAAGUAAAAGAGAGAAAAUGUUAGAUGGGAAACAUCAUUCGAAUUAAGUUCUAUUAUUUAAGUGACUAAAAAAUGUAAAGAAUUAUAUACUACCUGUAUAUGAAAAGUAUUUUUCUGAGCAUACUACAACUUCUCACUAGUAAAUUUCUUCUGAGAAAAAAGAAAAAAGAAAAAAGAAAAAAAAUGAUACAACUAUACUUUUCUUGAUUUCAAUGUUUGAGAAAAAUGUUUAUGAAUCGCAUGCACUAUUAUUUCCUAUAAAUGCUAUAUCCUCUACACAAAAAAAGAACAAAAAUCUUCAUUCCGAAGCCAAUAUCAUUUCCACUUACCAAAUUUUAGUCGUUGGGAUCCAUUUCCUCAUCCUGAUCAAUGAGAUUAUCCAAAUAGCUUUUCCCACUGUCGUAAUUAGAUUCUGCUUGUUCCGAUGAUUCAAUCUCUUCAUCCCACUUGUUAUCCCCUUCCUCAGCCGAGUCCAACGAUUCAAUUUGUUGACCAUCUGACAUCCAGUCAGGGCACUUCUCUUCGUCUCCAUAAACAGUUUUGUCCUUCUGCUUCACAAGAUGAACAGAUGCUUCACCACCAGAAGAUAAUCUACAGAAGCAUUCUGGAAGUGGAUGCGACAAAAACGACGUAGGCUUCGAGAAGAUGGCCUGUUUUAUCAGGCCUUCCUCACCCAAGCUCUUGUUGAGAUGCUCCUGCACUGUAUGUGUCCAGUUAUGCAUCGGAUGAUACAAAUUAUCACGGGUAAUGUUCAAAACAGUUGCUAGGAACUUCCUGUUAAGGAAAAAGAAACCGUCAGAGAAGAAAAAAUUUCAUCGCAUAUCUGCUCCAAUAAUAUGCAUACGUUCAACAUAAACAAGAGAAUGAUCCGAAACUAUAGUGCAUAUUGACCAAUCAAUAUUGAAAAAUUCAAUUAUACACAAAUACAAAUAUACAAUGCAUCUUAUUCUCGUUUUGUUCAAAUGUAAACUCAUUGUACUUGGUCAACCAGAACAGUCAACUGGAGCACAUCUUAAUUGGUUAACCAUCGAUUAGGAGGUUAAAAGGUUCUUUGAUCUCCAAUACUGAGUUGUCAAACUAAAAAGGAAAUAAAAGAAAUAGACUCCCUGAACAUGCAAUAGCAUGCAAACAUUCACUUGUACACAUAAAUUAGAUUCCAUAAAGAAUCCAAAACCCAUGUAAGACUGGACAUCGAACUGUUGUUUUUCGCAACUUCCAAACAUAGGAAUCAAACACUCGACAUCCAUAUAUUUUGCCUGAAUGUACCAAAAAUAUAUCUCUCAAUAAUUCCUCUAAGAUGGAUGCUUUUUAUAGGAAAAUAAAUCCCACUAGAACCAGUAUCCAAAAGAUCAACGGGAAGAGUUAGAUCAACUUAAUUAAUAACUUGCCCAAAUAAUGAUUUUUGUAAAAUUAACAAUUAAGUUAAUAAUUAAGGGAUAAUUGUGUAUCUAUAGGAUUUAUGAAAAUGAGGAUUUAUUAGAACUGUUCAAGACCUUUUACAACUAUAAGCUAAUAACGAAUGAGCAGUGGUUCAUCAUCAGAUUCCUUAAUAUACCUGUCAGGUCGAUAAGUCCUAGAUGAAGAACUCUCAUAUAGUCGUUGUCCCAUGACCAAGCUUGAAAAAUCUGGCCAACUGCUACCAUCGUUGUUAAAACCCGGAAAGAAUGCAUCAGCUUCAAGACAAACCAUGUAAUCAAGAGCAUCCAAAAGUAACCGAUGGGCUUGUAACCUCAUAUCCAUUGGUGAAGGGUCGGGUUCUUUAUCAGUUUCUGUAAUCCAACCAUACCACCCUUCUUUCUCAUGACGAUAGAUAGGUCUAUCUGGAGGGGGAGGAAGAGGUCUUGGCCGAGGACCAGCCUUGUUCCACUCAUCUUUUAGUUGUUGCUCACUUUUAGAAGGAGGUGGCCGAUAAAAAUCAAGAGGAAGAGUGGUCUCAGGUCCAAAUAUGGAAGCUAACUCCUCCUCACUGCAAAAAGAAGUGUGAUCGACCAAAUUAUUAAACAUUGCACGCAGAGGGAUCAGCAAUCGCUGGCCACCAAAAGUUUCAGACCCUGCUACAUAAACAAUUGUUUUAGGAGGAUAUCCCAUUGCCCGAAGGAGAACCCCAACCUGCAAAAAUUUUAACAGAAAUAAGUUGUCAAAAUGUAACUCUUUCCCUGCUAUUUGAAGACUAAAAAAUUCAGUGUAAUCACUAAGGGAACGUUUCGGCCUCUAAAUCACUAUUUCGUAGCACAGGCCAGGGCCCAUUCAAAUGUUUUGAAGAUUUGAGGAAAGAGAAUCUAUAGUAAAAUAACAGAGUGCAAUCAGUAUUCCUCUGUACUAAGACUAAACUUCACAAAUUAGACCAAUAGAGAAUCACAAUCAUUUCUUCAAUAAAAAAAGAAAAGCUUCCAUUAAAAUAAAUAGAAGCAUGAAGUAGGGUGAAACCAAAGAUGGAGCAAUGAGGAAAAACACCCACCCUCAAAGCCAAACAGAAAAUCUACAUACCCCAGGCCCAGUUGAUUGAAUUCACAUUCUAACAUAUUUUUUGGAAGAAAACAACAUGCAGAAUGAGGGAUUUCGACUUCUAACCUUGACCUUAGUUGAGUAAUUCUCAUGUUGGCUAUUCCUUGUACAGAUCACAAGGAACAAUUUCUUACAUGACUGUCACAAUUUCUAAAAGUACACAGUGAAGUGCUAGAAAUAGAGAGAUGCUAUAAGUAGUGAGCUGGAAUACAAAUUUCACAAAGAAUAUUGUAUCACCUAAAACAUCACAAGCAUCAAAUACAAAGAAUUGCCUAUAGAAAUUUAAAGUGCAUCCUAACCUUUAUGUCUACACUUAAAUGCUCGAGUUAAAUCCUUGUCUGAAUGCAUAAGUAAAGCAUGUUAAUGCAGUGACAAGCAAACAAAAUACCUAAUAGCUAUACAAUUAAAAAAAACAAUAAUAAAAAAAAGUAACUCUAAAAUUGAAAAUGGAAUAAUCGCAGCCAAGCGUAAAAGAGCACACUUUAUUUAAGCUAGAGUUAUCUGUUAAUGUACAAAAAUUUAACUCGACAGAACAUCAAGAUCCAAAUAUGAUACCAUCCAAAAGCAUCCAUGUUAGUUCUUAAGAAGAAUGAAAAGCCUGAUUCAUGGAUAAAAAGAUCCUUUCACUUAUUUAUGUCCCAAAUAACUGGGUGAAAUGAUAUCAAUCAUUUAUCUUAUCAAAUCUUCAGGUAUUAGAUCCCAAACAUUGUUUCAAGAGACUGAAUAUCAUUUAAAUGUAGGAAGCACAAAAAUUUAAACUAGAAGAGAUCCAUAUAACCAAUUGGAAGUUUGAACUUCUAAUUAGCAACUAAAUCUAUAAACCAUGACAUUCUAGAGACAAAUUAGAACUAGAUUACCCAGCCUUCAGAACCACAGGUAUCCAGUUCAUUUCUGCACAGUUUACUUAUCCCAUAGUCAAUUAUCUGUGCUCAUAAAAUUUAGCAUAACAAAACUUAUGAUAUAUUAAGAUAUUUAACAUCUUCAGUAAGUAAUAAUCAUAGUUUGAACCAAUUAUUUCAAAGACUUCAACAUUAACUCCUUAGCCCACUCAACUACUGAACUAAAUCAGGGUGGUCGUGGUCAUUAAAUAUCAGCUUACAAUCUUUGUAUGGAAGCCUAGAAUAUCUCCAGCUGGUUUGUCACUUAUUUGGUAAUCAAAGUAUCAGUCAGCAAUAAAGGGAUAUUUAUAUUUGACAGUACGUUGUGCUUAAAAAGUGAUUAGUCAAGAGACUCAAGCUCAAACCUCUUCAGGCAUCAGAGGGCAGGCACCAUUAUCUCUCUGUUUGCGAGAAUCCACACUCAGUUCUUCCCUGAUAAUCCCUUUUUUUAUCAUCUGUGCCCUUCGAUACUGAAUGAGUUCAGUGUGCACAUCCUAAAAAAGUACAACUCAACAAAAUGAUAAAUAGCACAAACUCAUUGAGAAUCAAACGUCAUUUCCCUUGUCAACUAUUAUGCAUAAAAACGUUCUCAAACGGCUACCUGAAAGAGUUCAGCACACCCAUGGUAUGCCAGGAUAUCUCUGAUUAAUCCAGGAUGAAAAGCAAGGAAAGGUUGGCCCCAAGCUCGUAGCCUGUAAAUUGUGAAGAUGCACAUUUCAGGAUUCCAGUAUACAAGUCUAUGAUAUUAAAUCAUCCACACAGCAUCAUGGAGCAUAUAUAUAUAUAUGCAGAUGUUAUCUUUCCAAGUAUCUGAACAGUAUAUAAGUCUCUGUUUAAUUAGUUUUCUUUCCCAUGCUUAUAGUGCAGGAAAAAAAACAAUAAUAACAAAAAUAAAAUAAAUCUACAUCCAGUGCACAAGUCAGAAGAUACCUCUGCACUAUUUUCUUUCCAAGCAUCUGAACUUCUGGCCGGAAGUUGAGUGCAUGGAAGGCGACCCUGCAUCUGAGUCUUUGUAGUUCAGACAUGCCAGAAGGAAGGGUAGACUGGAGAUAGAAAAUAUGAAAAAUGAAAUUCCUCAAUUCGUGUGUAAAUUGUCCAUACAUUCAAAUAAAAUAUAAAAUAACAAAAUGAGUGAAAAAUGCAGGAAAUUUGCAUCAGUAUAGAAAGCCUACAAAACUUCCGCUGAAAAAUUAUCAGAUCACAAUAAAAUGUCAACAAAUAAACUAACAUGGAUGAUGAUACGCUCCAUAAUGUUCUUGUGACUGAUGUUUUUAGUCAAAUGGUAAAAGCUACUAGGGAUGACUUUGUACAAGGUUUAACUUUCAAUGAAGACAGAUUUAAACCAUUUUGUCAUCUUGAUAUCACAUAAAAAUUUUGAAGUUCAGAAGAAAAGCUACCUGCAGACAUCCACCAUCAUAAAGAACCAAUCCUAUAACCUUGGCGCUCUUCAAGCUUGGAAGAACUUUUUGAAGAUAAUAGCUAGGAGAGGCUGAACUUUUGGGUUUAAAUAUAGGGAACUCGUUUCUUUUCCUUGAAGUCUUCAAAUUAUCCGGCAAACUUUUCAUGACAAGCACAUCAUUUUUGAGAUAAGAUAUGAAUUGUUCUUCGUUGUAAAGAUAAGAAAAGCUCUUGAAUCUGUCACUGGACAAUUAAUAACAUGCGUAAGCAGUAAGAUGUAGAUCACCCCCAUAUAGAAACUAAAAAGGAAAAGACAAGUAUUGACUAGCAUAUCAAUCAUUAUACCUGAUGCCUUUAGCACGAGUACUUUCUUGAAUCUCAGGGAGAACAAGAGUUGCAUUCAGUAGCCUAGCUAUAGCAACCAGAUCACAGAUCUAGAAAAUUAAAAACUAUUAGGUUAAUAGUUAAAACUCAAAGUUAAAAAAAAAAAAAAACAAGAAGAAGAAUAAACGUAUUUUCUUAAUAUCUUACCGAAGAUCUUAUAUUUGCAAAACCACCAAACACUUUUGCAUAAAUGAAACCAUUACUCUGCUCACUUGGGGCUGCAAGGAAAAGAGAUGAUUUAAUUCACUAAAUCUACUCCUGCUUGCAGCAGUUCAACAAGAAAAGAAAAAGGGAGAAAAGGUUAAAACUAAAGGAAACAAAGAAGAAGAAAUUUGAAUUCAAAAUAGAAAGUCAAGAUCACAUGAGUGGGAAAUAUAUGAUGCGUGCAUAUGUAUAAAGGAAACAAUGUCACCACAUCUAUCAAAACAAGUCAGAUUUUUUCUUAAAAGUACACAAUUUUUUAAAGGAUACCACACUUUUCAUUAUUUUUCUUUUUUGGAUAUCCGUGAAUGUCCAGGCUAGUUUACGCAUAUCUCGACUAAUCUCACAGGACAACCUGCUUAACCCUACAACAUUAGGGUGUCAAGGUAACUCAUAGGAAAUUAAUUCCAAGGUAAGUGGUCACUAUGGAUUGAACUUAUAACCUCUUAGUUAGUUAUUGAGACUAUAUCUCAUUUUUUACCACUAGACCAAACCCAUGAUGAUUCAUACCACAAUUUUUAUUAAAAAGAUGAAAAUAGGCCAAUGCUCCAAGAUAGGAGAGGAAAAUCAAUUACACAAAACUAUUAAUCCAUUUGGUGAUGAAAAUGUUUACAAGAACCAAGAUUUGGGUGGAGCCCAACAAAUUUUUCUAGAUUUUUUUCUUUUCUUUUUUCUCCUUUUUUCUUUUUUUAUGUCCAUGAGUGUCCAGGCUCACUUACGCGCACCUCGACUAAUCUCACAGGACAACCCGCCAAACUCUACAACAUUUGGAUGCAAGAAACUCGUAGGAAAUUAAUUCCUAGGUAAGUGGCAACCAUGGAUCAAACCCAUGACCUCUUAACUAUUGAGAUUGUGUCUAUUUUUUACCACAAGGCCAACCCAUGAUGGUCCUUUUUUUAUGAAAAGAUUUUAAAUGAUCAAAUCUUUUCGCAAAAAAAAAUGAAAAGAGACUAAUGUUCAAGGAUACAAAAAGAGACUAAACUGAAAGAUAAAAACUGCAUAUAAGGAAUAAUGAAAUAACUAAGCAAAAGUUUGAAAACUACAAGCCAACAUCGAAGCCAAAUGAUGCUCUAAAAAAAUAGUCCGACAACAAUAAAUAUAUUGACUUGAGACCCCUUCAAAGAAAUUGGAGAGAUGACACCUUGAAGAAGCCCUUAACAAGCUGAAUCAAACCGAGCAAGAGAGCUUUGGAAAGAAUUCUGAAUAAUGCGAUGAUUUCUUUCCUACCAAAUGUUUAUAAUGGAUAGCAUUUGCAGCAUUAACCUAAUUUGCAGCAUUCUGGAAAACCUUGUUUAAUUUUGUUUUGAGAAGUUUUAAGAGUUCUCAGGUCAGUCGUUUAAUCUUUUCACAUGCUCAUCACAAGGAUCCUAGUGAUAUGAUCAUGGAGUUCUUCGUCCAUUCACCCUCGAGAGAGAAGGAAUGUUUUUCAUGCCUUGCUGGGGUAUGCACUUUAUUGUGGAUGAUUUGGAGAAGCGGAAUGCUAGGGUGUUUUAAAAUGUGAUCUUAUAUCAAACACUUUGCUAAAAUGCAGAGAAAGUAAAUAACCCAAGAGAUCCAUUUAUUGAACUGUGGAAUUUCAAAACGUUGAUUGAAUCAAUGAACCUAUUGAACUGUCUCAUGCCUCUGUGAUAUUAAGUAAAACGUUCAUGUGCUCACAUAGUGAAUUAAAAUCUCCACAAAUACACCAUGCAUCUGUGCAGUAAUCUGAAAGGGAGAACAGUUCUGGCCACACAAAUCUUCAUUCUUUGUAACCAUUUGGACGUAUACAUUAGCCCUUCUACUGACUCUAGUGUUGUCAAAAAUUUUGUCCCACUUUAUUUAUGAAGAAGUGGUCUAGGAGUGAUCUAGAGGUUGUGCUCCCUUCUCUAGACCAAGUGUAUUUACCAUUUUGAAGAGGAAUUUCCAGAAUGUUGAUUGAAUCAAUGAAACUAUUGAACCGUCUCAUGCCUCGUGUGUAUCUUCGAAAGGAAAACAUUCAUGUGCCCACCUUGUGAUAUUAAAAUCUCCACUAAUACACCAUGCCUCUGUGCAGUAAUCUGAAAGGGAGAACAGUUCCGGCCAUACAAAUCUUCUUUCCUUGUAAUCAUUAGUUACAAAAACGUUCCCAUUUUCCUAACAGUUCCAGAGAAAAAUGGAGCCAACAGAUUGUGUCGGAUUGGACCCAUUGCUAAUUUUGAUAGAAAGACACUCUUAAAAUGCUUUCCUACAAACAACCAACAAUUUCAAAGAAUGUUGAUUUGAGCUUCUGCUAAUUGUUCAUAAAGCAGGCAUCGUUUAUCCUCCCCAUGAGUAUUUACGAUAACUACGUAUCAAACCUCCACACCCAUUUGGGGACCAAAGCAGAACCUCCUGACAUGAACACUCCACCCCCUCUUAUGACAAGAGACUAUUUCCCGACCAAAUAAAUGAUUACUCAAAUCAAUACUCUCACAGGUCCCAGAAAAAUCUCUUUCAAGAAUUUUAGAAACUUUAGUUGGGUUCUUGAACGAAGAAAGAAAACUUUAGUUGGAAUUGUUCGUUGAUGCAAUUCCUCCUCGAUGUGCAAUUUGUUCAAGCCAUGCGGAUUUUGAAUUAAGUUUCAUCGAUGAUGGGAAGACUUUUGGAAGCUGUUGGUGGCAGCUGUUUUUUCACCAUUGGGUUGGAAAGGGAUCACCGUAUUUUGAGAUACCUUCUUUGACACUAUCCACAGUUGACAUUAAAACCCCUUUGGCUAGUUUUGGAAGUUUCCUCCUUCUCACUGUUGUGUCAGGACAUUUUUUACUAGAAUUAAAACCUUUGUUUCUUUACCCACACAAACACACUCAAAACUUAAAUUAUUAAGCUCUAAUCCGGUAACCAAAUGUUUGCCUUUUAAACUUUAAAUUAAAGGAUAAUUUACAAUCUAAAUAAAUUUUUUUGGCUGAAAUCAUUUGAAACAAGCUUUGAAAUAAGACAUAAUGAAACUUAAUGAAGCAUAUGCUAUCUGGUAAAAAUGCUAAACUAUCUAACCAUUUCAUAGUAAGAUCUUUUUUC